Molecule: long non-coding RNA, 55873 nt
Filed under: Cucumis sativus (cucumber)
Lineage: Eukaryota; Viridiplantae; Streptophyta; Magnoliopsida; Cucurbitales; Cucurbitaceae
Description: long non-coding RNA (CSAT_LNC002899)
Source: RNAcentral
UGACUUUUAUUAACUCUUUACACCGUGAAUCUCACAAAAAUAUGAGGAAUAGUCAAUUUCUUUCUUUUGGUGAAACCAGUUGAGUAUUGUUGUAUUGUUCAAUUGAACCAAACAACUUUUAUUAAAAUGAAAACAAAAUCAAUUUUUCUUAUAACAUACUUUUACUAUAAAUUUUUCCACGAUAAAAAAAUCUCUAGAAUAAAAAUAGUAUAGACAUCAAAAUAAUAUUUGAACUUAAUUUUAAAAAAUUAAUAAAGAUGACACUAAAAGUAAUAUAAUACUAUCAUAUAGUACCUAUUAUUUUUUUCAUUCAUUAUUUGACACGUUAUUAAAUAAUUUAUUAUUUACUUUAUAGACCUCACAUAACUUUUAAAUACUAACUUUGUAUCGAGUAUGCAAUAAUAAAUUUAAAUUAAUACGACGUGGAAAAUUCUCGUUUCGUUACCAUCAACACUGUAAUUAUUGAGAAAAGAAAAGGAAAAACUCUAAAAUUAGAGGUGAGGUGGCAAGUGCACUUUCAUGUGGAGGACAUGAGAUCGGAACGCAAAAACUUUGUUUAAUAAUAAACAAAAGUAAUGUAAAGUAUAAAAGAAUGUAAAAGGAAAACAAGUGGAUAUUCCACUUUCGUGUGGAACCAUUUUUAUUCAUAACCAUUAUAUGACACAAUGGGUAUAUAUGGAUAAACUUAAACGUUUUAUUAUUGUUUAUGGAUCUCUCGAUUGGGUCGAGGGUGUGAACUCUUUUUUUUAUGGUAUAAGAUUUUUAUGUUCUUAAUGUUUGAUCUUAUAUUAUAUCUAAAUCCAUGUUAUAUACGUGGAUGAUAUUUUAAUAAGAGAACUCACGAAAUUUUAUCAAAAAAAAAUUAUAGACUUAUUAGAUGAAAUAUUCUAAUGAAAUAAUGAUAUUUGAAUAAGCAAAUAAUUAACUAUUAUAAAAUUUCUUGAAAAAAAAUUACAACUCUAAUCAUAAUUCUAUUGAUCUCUUCUAAAUUUUUUUCACAAUAUGUAGGUUAAUUUUACAGCGAGUUUAUAGGACAAAAUAAUUCUUCAUCAUUCACAUUUCUCUUUGAAGAAAAUUAUCAGUUCUUUGACGAUGAUCUUCACGACGAUGCCGUUUUGGAGGAAGAAACGAACAAAAUGAUCAAAUUAUUGAUUAUUGUUUGAUGUUUUAUUUUUACAAAAGAACUGCUACUUUUAAGCAAUUUACUUUUUUUAAAAAAACUUUAAAAUAUUUGAAGUAAUUAAUUUUAGAAAAAUCUAUUUUUGAAAUUAACUUUUUUCUUAAAAAGAUAGAAAAUAACAAUUACAUUUUUUUUUUAUUAAGAAAGAAAAAGUAAUAGUAGUAAAAAAUAAAAAACAAAAAAGUUUAUACUUUCUUUCAAAGUUAAUUAAUCAAUUUGGAAAUCAAGGAUAAAAGGGUCAAAAUCCCAAUUAGGUCCUAUUUUAAAAUGAUCUUGAAGUGAUUGGUUAUUUUGACAAUUAUUAUUAUUUCCAAAAAUAUCCUCCACCUCAAAACUCAUUUCAUCAUUAUUAUUGAAUAAUUCAUAGUUGUUUUCUUGUAGAUUCAUGGAUGUUACCUUAUUAAUCUCUUCAAUAAUAAUGUCUUUAUUUCCAUGUGGAGGAAGAUGUGAAUAGUCAUAAAAGUCCUUAGCCUCUAAUAUUGUUGUUGUAGUGUAAUCCCCAAAAUACCCUUGUUCCGUAACACCACCACCACUACCACCAUCCUCAAACGUGUUGAAUAAUUGGUAGUUGUCGUUUGAUAAUGUAGAGAACAAUAAUGGUUCGAAUGAACUUGGCUGCUCUACAAAGCUGUUGUUGCUACUUCUAGGUUCGGAUGAGUGGCUUAGGUUUGGAGAUGGAGUAAUAUUGUAACUACGAUUGUUCUUCAUUCUCUUCUUCAACGUUGAAUUCCAGAAAUUCUUUAUUUCGUUAUCUGUUCGUCCAGGUAAACGUGCUGCUAUUUGAGACCAUCUGAUAAAAUAUCAAAUUUUCGUUAAAACAUAUAUUGAUUAAAUUUUACAUGUAUAUAAUAUAUACACAUUUUUACUGGAUUUUGAAAAAUACUAGUUUUAAAGUUUUGAUAUCACUGUUGUUAAAUAUUAUUUCGUUUGAUUUAGUAUUUGAAAAUUAGGUUUGUCUGUGUUUUUUUUAUAAUUUUAUAAUCAAUUUUUUUUAAUCAUAUGUUAGAGAAAUGUUUGAAAAUUAUCUUUUAGACUACGUUUGAUUGUGUACUAUAUAUUUGGUUUUUGACUCGAUUUUAGGUUUUGUUUGAUAGCUACUUAAAGUUACUUUUUAUAUAUUUUUUUUUAUAACAAUUAUGGUUGAAUUAUUCUAAAUACACAACUUUUAAAAAUUAAAUAACAAUACAAAUAAAUGAAAAAGUAAAAGUAGUAUUUACAAAACUUAAUUUUCAUAUAUAUAUAUAGUUCCUUUUUUCUGUAACUAAACAUACAUGAACAUUAAUUAUUUCACCAAAUUUCAAAACGAAAACUACUUUUUAGUUUCCGAAAGUCACAUAGUUUUCUUAAAACACACUUCACCAAAUCAAUAAGCUACCUUAAUCCUUAAAAAGCUAAAAGCUCAAAAAGCUAUUUAAUUUAGUACGUCAAUUCGUAAAUGGUAAUUAACCCAAUAGAAAAUAAUGUAUCCAACAACUAAAUGAUUAAUUGACUUAAAUGAAAUGAAUUUGUCUCUUUGUUUUUUCAUCUAAUGAUCAAGUGAUGUGGAUUCAAUUGUAUUAAUUAUUUUGCACUCAAAUCAAAAUACUAAAUUAAACUUAUUAACCAUAAAGUAUGGCCUACAUUAUUUUGACUCAAUAUAAUUAGACCAAAAAUUAAUUAAAUAAUAGUAAUAAUUUUGAAAGAAAAAAGUAGGGGAAGUUAAUUUUAAUUUGUUUAUAUUAAAGAGAAAAUGUGGUUGAGAGAGUAGCUGCUGUCUAUUUGUAUCUUUGUGAAGUAUAUAUAUAUAUAAGAAGAAGAAGAAUUAUUGCUCAGUGAACUAAUUAAACUAAACCACAUCGACAACCAAACUCAUAAUAACAAAAAAUAUUCAUGGACUCUAAUUGAACUAAACAAUUAAGAUGCCAAAGAGAUAAUAUAUUAGAACCAAGAACUAAUUAAGUAAUAGUAAAAUAAUUUUGUUGUAAUAAAAGAAAUAAUACAUAUGUGUGUGUGAAUAUGUAUUUUUAAAUUUUAUAAUAAAAGUAUUUAAAAAUUACACCAAUAAAUUUGUGAGAACAAAAUUAUUAUUUAAAAUGUGGAAUGAGGGUUUAGAAUGAAUGAAUUUUGUUACCUAUUGCCAAGAAGAGAAUGGAAAUGGAGAAUGAGUUGCUCUUCUUGGGGAGAGAAAGCUCCACGUUUAAGGUCAGGGCGGAGAUAGUUAAUCCAUCGGAGACGGCAGCUCUUUCCGCAGCGGAGGAGUCCGGCGUUUCGAGCAAUGUCAGUCCAGCAACCUUGGCCAUUGGAGAGCAUGUAUCUCAUUAGCUUCUCAUCCUCAUCCGGCGACCAAAGCCCUUUCCUCAGACGGAUGUUGGCGGCGGCGGUUGAACAAUCACCUGGCUUCCUCAUCAAUAUGUUUAACCUUUAUAUUAUUGUUUCUCUGUAUAUAUAUAUAAUAAUGUGCAGUACUUAAAGCUUAUAUAAGUGAUGUGUUUUUGUGUAGUUGGAAGUGUGAAAUAAUAUAAUGUUUAUAUGUAUAAGGGAAAUUAGAGGAAGGGGGGGAAGGCUUGAUGUUGUGGUAACGGUGAUGAUGAUGGCGAUGUGGUUGUGGGGUUGCUUAGAAUGUCAAUCUAUGACUAAAUGUCUCUCUAGAGAGAGAGAAGAAAAUGAAAAGAAAGGAUAUUUCUUUGUUGGUUGUUUAUUCAUAUAGCUAGCUAGGGUUGAGUGGACAAAACGGAUUGGAAGGGGACCUAUAGGAAGAGAAGAGUGGGUUGAAAUGUCCAUUGAAACAUUGAUAUGUUUGUAAGUGAGAAGAUUCGAUAUCAACAAAAAGUGAGAGAAUUAAAAUAUAUAACUAUUCAUAUAGGUCCAGAAUAAAAAUACUUAAUAUUGAUAUAGUUGAAGUAUCUAUAUAUUGAUAUGUUAAAUAUAUAUGUCUUGCAUUUACCUUCAAAACAAGGUUUAAUUGUGGUUAUUUUUAUAAAAUACAUUUAAAAAUAUUCAUUCAUAUAUCCAUAAUUUUAUAAUAUAGUUAUUGACAUAGCUAUAUUGAUAGAGAUUAAGUCAUCACUAUCCAAACUAAAACAAUUUGAUCUCUCUAACAAUAUAACAAUGUUUGUCAUUGCUCUAUUAUAUUUCUCAUGUUGAAGAAUUUUGUAUUUUGUUAUAGAGGUCAUCCACCGACCUUCAAAAUUAAACUCUUUCAAACACGUUGGAGAAUUAAAAAAAUAUAUAUUAUUUAAGUUUAACAUGAAGUAAAAGAUUUAAACUUUUUAGCAACACAAGUUCACUUUUGAAACUAUAUUAUUUAUAUCAAUUAAAUUACUAAUUUAAUAUCAUAUAGUUUAAUUUAUGAAAAAUGUUUGAAUUGAGUGAUCCGUACGAUUUAUUCUUAAAAUUUAAUCUCUACCGUCUAAUAAAACUCUUAUAAAAUUGAAUGUUCAAGAACUCUUAAUCAACUCUCACAACCUUUUUCUAAUCAUAUGCAACAUUAUCUUUUGUGGCCUAAAACUUGUUUGUAAAAUCUAAACAAAUUCAGAUUGAUAUACCACAUAAAUAAUAAUUGCUAAUUGAAAAAUUAUAUUCUUAGAAGACUGCUAAAAUUUUAUAGGAAAAAUCAUAAACUUGUUUGUAUAAAAUUUUAAUGGUAUAGAUAUCAUCUAUUUGAUUUUUUUUUUUAUAUACAUUAUACAUAUCAUCUAUAUUAUAUAAAGAUAUCGUCAAAAAUAGAAAAAUUAUCAAAAGCAUUUCUACUAAAUCUAGUCGGUGAUCCAAACUCGUAAUUUUCAAACCUCCUCGAAUAUUUUUUUUUAAAAAAAGAGGAAGAGAGAGAAGGGUUGUGUUCUUGUCUUUGACUCAAUUAGGUUAACUUUUUUUAAAUGAAAUAUUUUUCUUCACUCACAAGGUAAUCAUCAUUCUUUUAUUUCCCAAACAUUUUUGCUUCCACUUCACAUAAUCAAUCAAUCUCUCUCUCACUCUCCAAACUUACACGUGAAUUUUAAGUAUUAAAUCGAGGGAGAGAAAAAGAGAAAACAAAAAUAUUAUUUUAAAAAAAAAAGUGCUUUUGAGUUCGGUAAGUCGGUGGAAAAUAAUACCCAAAAAUUAUAAACGAUAAAACUAUUUAAAAUAUUUACAAAAUAUAGCAAGUUUUUCAAAUUUUAUCAAUAUCUAUUAAUGUACUAUUAGAAUUUUUAUAAAUAUUUUGAUUCGUUAUACUAUAUUUAAAAAUAUCCUUUUUUUUUUAUUUUGCAUCUAUAAUUUGAUUUCUAAAUUAAAUAUGAUUGUUUGGUUUUGAAAAUGUGUUUCAAUGGACACUAACUUUAAUUAUUUAAACCAACAACCCUAUUUUUAACAUACUCUUCAACCAAAUUAUAUCCCCAACUUCUAAAGCAAAUCAGACCCCCUAUAUCAUAUAUCUAUACAUUAUUUAUAUUAUUUUCUCUUUAUCUUUAUUAAUUAAUAAUGAACACAUUAAUUGGUUUCCUCUCAAUUAUAUAACUACUGAAGAAAAAAAAAUAGUUACAAAUUCUCUACCUCUAAUGAUGAGUAGGUGACAAUCUCAACUGAAAUAUUUUUAGUAUUAAGAGAGUAUCAUACUCAUUUUGUUUUGUUUGUAUAGGAAAUUUGUAUUCUCAAAUAGCAUAUUAAUACCGAGAUACUUAAAAAAAUUUCGUUCUUUUUAGAGGAUUGCUUAAAAAGUUUGCCCAUCAAAUGUAUUUUAUUUAGUGAAAUGAUAAUUUUAAAUUAUAUUGAUUUAAAAACGUGUGAGAAUCACUUUUUUAAGAGAUUUGAUAUAUGUUAAGGGUUUCUUCUUUUAUAUAUAUAGAAAAUUUGGGGAGAUAUUGGAAAGAAUUUAGAGGCACAAACUUUCUAAUAAUUGGUGAAAUAAUUUGUGGGAAUUUCUUCCAGAGGCUUUAAAAGCAAUGACAGACCAAUCAUAGGGUGAAAAGUUCAAAGUACCCAAAAAUAAAAUCGUACAAAGAAAAUUGAAUUAAAUAAAGAAAUCAAUAGAUGGCCAAAAUAAAUAAAUAAAUGGAUGCAUUUAAAAAAGUAAAAAGUAAAUACAAAUACAAAUAAAAAUGAAUGCAUUUAUGCGAUGAAAAGCAAGUUUUCUCAAUUUGGCUUCUCAUAAAAAGGAAUUUCAAAAGAGUGCUAAAAAUAUUCCAUAUUUUUAUUUGUGGAUUGCACCCAUGAUUUAGAAAAAUUCACUUUUGUUUAGGAGCUGUUAAAGUUGUUUAAACACUCUAAAACUAUUUUUAUUAACAAUAAAAGUAGUUAGACUGUUAUUUUCUGUUGUAUUAGUUGUAUUAGUUAAUCUGUUAUUUUCUGUUGUAUUAGUUGUGUUAGUUAAUCUGUUAGACAGUUAUCAGUUGCUGCCAAGAAUCUAUAAAUACCAAGCUUGGUUGAUGUAAAUAUCCUAGACAUACAGAAAUAAAGAAUUUACUGCAGUCAGUAAAUCUUUUCUCCCAAAUUCUGCUUCUUCUGUUAAUUUUUACUCUACAUUCUCAUCUCAUUUACUCCAAAAACGACUUAACGUUUUUAGAUAUUAAUCGCUUGAAAAUCUAUUCAAACCAUCGAUCUUAUUCAAACCAUCAAUCUCAUUUUCUUCUAAGUUAUAAAGAUUUAAGAUUCACUAAUGGUUGUUGCACUUAUGUUCUUAAUCUUGCAAAGUUAAAAGUUAAAUCAUCCUACUUGUCUAAAUUUUAAAAAUGAUUUUCAAACUUACACAAAUCACUUGUCUAAAUUUUAAAAUGAUUUUCAAACUUACACAAAUUAUAUCAUUUUAGAACUUUAAUUCUUAUCAUUUGUUAAAUAAUUAUAUUAUAUUAUUUUAGAACUUUAAUUCUUAUCAUUCUAAUUUUAGCAAUUUUAAAAAUUUAAAACUUUUAGAAGUUUAAAUCUAAUUUUUAUAAUUAUUAUAGGUUUGAAAGUCUAGAAUUUUUAUAAUUAUUAUAAAUUUGAAAGAAUAGAAUUUUUAGAAGUUUAAAGAUCCAACUAUUAUUAUGAAAAAAUGUAAUUAUAAUUGGGAUGGAAUUUGUGCUAUUUAAUUUUACAUGGAUUGAACCCAAAAAUUGAGAUAAAUUAACCUAUAUGAUAAUAAGCAUAUAGAGCUUUUAACCUCGAAUUAUGCAAACUCAAACCACACCACCAUUGGAUCUUUGAAACAAAUCUAUUAUUCUAAUAAAUAUGGUUAGGUUUUUUUCUUUUGUCAUUUAAUUUUUUCCAACUUCAAAAAUUAUUCUUUAUGAUUUGAAAUAAGUUUUUUCUGCCAUAACUCAUCGGUAAAAUGUAACUAAAGAAAACUUAGAUUUAACUCCAAACUACCAAACCCAAAGAAUAAGAUGAACAUGUUAAUCCAUAAUCAAAUUCUCCAAUAUGACUGCACAUAUUCGUCAAAUUUUAAAUUGUCCAACAUGGAUAUAGUUAUGAAGAAAAAUCAACUUCUUAUUGGCAUCAUACAUAGAAAGAGAGGCAUUGCCGCCCGUCAUGCAAAGGCAAAAAAAGGGGAGGAAAACACCAAAAGUUCUCUUUUCAUGGUUGAAAAAUGGUAGAGAGCUCAAAGCAGGAAGAAGGGAUCCCCAUAAUGUAAAAAUUACCCUUUUCAGAGGCUGUUGAAGUUCACAGGUUCUCGCAAGAACCGCUCCAUCUGUUUUGCUCUGGUCUUGAUCGACAUGUCGAACACUUUCUCCCCAAAUUCUACUACUAUUCCGCCAAGAAUACUUGGAUCAAUCUGGCAUAUACAAGAGAUUAGAUGUGCCUGAUAAAAGGGCUAAAACAGACCAAAAAAUAGGCAAACCCUGUGAUUUUAAGUACCUUCUGUUCAAGCUUGACCUUUUUCCCCUCUCCAAUAAUAUACUGUAGAGUCUCCUUCAGUUCUUUCUCUUCUUCAGCAGGAAGGGGCUGUGGCAAAAUGAAAAUUUCAAAACAGAAGGAUUUGUUCUUUUUUCUUUUUUCUUUUUUUCUUUCGUAAGAAAAAACAGGAGGGUUUCAAGUACUAAUACCAGACUUCCAUUGGUUUUAUGUUAUCAUCCUAAUGGCUUCAAAUACUAAGUUGGGAUUUCUAAGCUAAAUAUCUCUACACUUGGAGAAACUGAACCACAUUUUACAACUUUUAACAUUGAUUUUUUUUUUUUAAACUUUGUAAUUACAAGAUAUAACAAGGUGUAAGGCAAUACAUUUAUAUCCUAAGCAUUACCUGCCAAGUCCCACAUCUAUGUAUAUUAACUUGUUCUUGGACGUUGAAUCCGAAUUAAUAUAAAACCAUGCAAUAGCAUCAUGUACAGCAAAAGAAUUAAGCGCUAUAUAGGUAAAUGAAUGAUAGCCAUAUGCCAUAUUAGAACUUAUAACCAUGGAAGAUAAUGAAUUUCAUUAUAGGAGCUCGGGAACUUACAAUAACAGUAGACACAAUGGCUUUCACCUCUCCUCUAUGAGCCAUUGUCAACUCUUGAAACUUCUUUGCAAUGCCGUCUACGUAUUUCAGCCUUCCAUUCUCAGCCAAUACAGCUGGAUAGGAGUGUGAUUAUGAAAUGGUGUAUCAAAUUGUUUACUUAAACAUACCAUUUUUUCUUAAAUUAAAGAAAGAAAACAUCAAAAUUUUAACGCUAUGAGUAGUAGUAAUACCCAAAAAGUUCUUCAUAAUUUCUGAAAACUUAGCAUCAGCACAAACAUCGCUAAUAACCUUGACCUUGGUAUCUUUAUGCACUGUGGGAUCACUAAUGAACUGAGAGAAGGUGGCACUUCUCUUUAAAGCCUCGGCAAAGUCUACAAGCUCUUUCUCAGCCUUAUCCAAGGAAUUAGCUUUUACUGCGGCAAGGUACAAAGCAGAGGCAUAGUUUCCAGUCCCCCCAAACAAAACCAGAGGAACCUACAAUGCCAUACAUAGAAGAGAGCUAAAUGAAAAUAACCAAAUUAUGUGUAAAUAUAUCGGAAAAACAUGUCACAUGAUACUCUGCAUUUCAUUAAGCCACAACUGAAGAUAACUGGUACAUAAAACUAGUGAAACUUUUAAGUCUUAGUAAAUGCAAGCCAGUUCCAUUACUUUAACUUUUGCCUCGCUUUUCUUGGAAGAAGUUGCAUAGUUCCUCGAGAUCUGCACUUGAAGGAAAACAAACAUUCACAUUAAUUCAAUGAAAGGAUUAAGUUGAUUCAAUAAUCAAGAGCUGAGAGAUGAAUGGUCACAAUACAAUGAUUGAAUAUAAACAACUACAAACACAUGACAACCAGAAAUUUCACAUCCAUGAGGAUUGAAGCAGACUAUAAUUUGUGCCUACUCAAGCAAAACAUUCAAGACAGACUCUGGAGGCCAAACAGAUAACGAUCCAUGAUGGAAAUGAAUACAAAGAACUUGGAAUUUCUUUGAGUUGCAAGCAGGAGUUUGAGAAUCAACUUACGAAUCUAUUUGCUUACUAAGAAAAAAUAGGAGGCGAGGAAACAUAGAGAUUAGUAAAUACUUUCAAAAGCUAACAGGAGUUUUUGCCACCAUUACUUGGAACUGGCUCUCAGCGAAAUCCAAAAACCAACAAAUUCAGGACUAGUUUGUGCUAAAUUAAGUGGAGAAACUUCCAUUUACCCGUAGAAGAUUGAAUAUAGCUCUCCUAGUUCAAUUGAGCGUCUCAUCAUAUUCCUUUCCCCUAUUCAAAAUUCCAGCAAAGUACGGUAACAGGUAGAACAUAAUAUUAAGAGCUUCUACUGGUUAACUUGAAUGAGCAAUCACUAGCUUGGCUAAAAAUGGCGUCAAUCUCAUCAGGUUUGGCUGAUUUUGUUUUUUAAACCGAAAGUGUAAAUAUCAGAAAUUAUGAAGAAAAAUAUCACAAAUUAUGAAGGAAAAAUGUUUUUUGGUGAACAAAUAACCUUCCAUUGAGGAAGAAAUAAAAAAUACAUGGUCAGAGACUGUUUACCCAACCUUUCUAUGGAGAAGAAUUGUUAGAAACAAAAAGGGAAUUGACAUAUGGCAACCAAGCAAUUGAUUGUCUACCAAAAAGUAUUCCAUUAAAAUUACUAUUUACCCAAGCCCAUCAUUUCGGUAACUCACAAGACCCUGCAAAAACCAUUUGAGUGAGUCUUUUCCUAAUGCUUGAAAAGUGAAGAGAUUGUUUUGUUGAAAUGAAAAUAUUAUAGCCUCCAAGUCCAUGUAAUGGAAACUCCAAGGCAGAGAUCAGAGAAAAAAAUAGACGAAAUCAAAUUGUGUUCCUGCUUAUAGUAAGUGCUUUCCCUCGAUGCUUCAACUUCUAAGGCAUAACUUUCUUAUAGGUUUAAUUUGAAGAGAAAAAGUCCCAAAAAGCAACAAUUUCACUUAGGAGUUAGGACACGGAUUCAUAGAAACUUAAGUAUGCAAGGAAGAUAGCAAAGGAAAGACCUCCUUCAGUUAUUUUUCCCCAAAUUUGUGUGAACUGCAAAAGAAACCAAUACAUACGGAAAUACAUUACUACAUGUUUCGUCAUCACCAACUGAAUUGGCUAGAAGUUGAUUUUUCCUUUUUUAAAAGUUUGUUUCAACAAGGUUCAAACCGAAAGAUGCCACAAAAAUUCUUAAGAAAAUGUUGCAAGGUUCUUCUUCCGAGCUACUUAAACCGAACCUCCAAAAGAAUCAUUCUCCAUAGCAUAUAUAAGAACUCCUAUGAUUUCUUGAAACUAGCUAAAUACAAACCUUAAAUUGGAGUGCUUUACAAAAAAGAAACCAUGCAUCCCAGGUACCCACUUAAUUAAUUAAGAUCAAAGCCAUUCGUUUAAAACCCUCUUUAGCAGGGGGGAAUGCCUCAUCUCCAUGAUCUUUCCGAUGUACGAUGCCUAAGCUCCCAUCCAAUCGUCUUUAUUUCUCAAGCUUGUAUUCAAUUAUAAACCAUAUCGAUAAUGUCGAUGAGGGAUUCGCAAAAUCAUAAUCGAUCAUGAAGGGGAAAAAAAAAAAAAAAAAAGCAAAACCAUUAGGGAUUCGCUAAUCGUUCCUCAUUCUACAUCACUGACGAUUUGACGGCACUAAAGCCCAUCAUCACUUCUUAUCCCUGCUUUUUCCCGCAAAUCAAAUGGAUAUUAGGAAAUCAAAGCCCAUAUACAGGAAAGCACAGUAGGAGACGAAAUAGAUUGAGAAAUAAAUGAUUCUAACCUCGGAGUUGGCAGUCGUGGGGCAAAGUAGGGCUCUUGUAAGAGCAGAUCUCUGAGCCUGUGACUCCGAUUUCAGAAGCUGAUUGAAUUGAGGAAUGAUCGAUCUCAUACGCCCAGCCAUAGCCAUUUCACAAAAAGGAAGGAUAAACCCUAGUUUUUUCUAAUUGACGAAGGACUGAAGCGAACAGCUAAUGGGACAGAACUACAAAGCGGAGAACUUUUUUUUGCGAAGUGAAGAAGCCUCAAGGUUGAUGGAGCCGGUUGAAGAACCGGCACGUGCAUUGCACAUGUUGUAUGAUCGGUCCGGAAAAGUAGAAACCCAUGCUUGUAUGACACGUAGGAUGCUACAGCCAUUGUAAUAAUGCCACGUCGCAAAGGCACAAUAUUAAUUUACUUAUCAUCAAAUAGGGCUUAUUCGUAAGUUUAUUGGCACAUUGUUUGACAUGUAUGAUACAACCAUUUUGGUGUAUGGGGUGAAGAACAUUCUCUAGAAGUAUAAGUUUUUAGUAGGGUGAUCAUCCAUUAGUUGGAAUCGAUUUUUUUUAUCAAACUGUCACUGAAUCGAUUAUGGUUGAUUUAGUAAAUGUUCAAACUGAUUUUGAUCAUCGAUGAAUAAAUGUCGGUCGGUUGGUAUAAUACUAUGAAACAUAUUUGGAAAUUUCUCAAUCUGAAACUUUCUCAAACCAAUAUCGUUGGUUGGAUCGGUUUUUUGGUCUAUUAUGUUGACCCUUUGUUUGUGAGAAAGGAUUCGUGUGAAGAGUUGAAGUAGAAAUGAAAUGCAAUUAUGAUGAAAUCCAAUAGAAAGGAAAAUGUUAUUCCUUUGUUCUUAAUUAUUGAGGUUGUUAGUGAAAAGUGGGUUUUCAUCAAGAAAUUCUCUCUUCCAUGUUACUUUUCUGUUCACUUUUACAACUUACCUUUCUUCCACGUUUUUAGUACAAGUCUCAUAAAAUGAUCAUAUAUCAAAAGGAAUUGUAUUGCUGUACAUUUACUCUCAAACUUGAAAAAAUAAAAACACAGAUAUGGAACUACAAACUUGCAAAUACAGCAAAAGAGAAGAAUUCUUCAAGUAGAAAACAUUUCAAGCAAGAACUUAAGUAUGAAGAUUAAGGGAAGAAGAAGAAUAUGUAGAGGAUUAUAGUGGUCACCUACAUCUACUCUCAAUAAGGCAUCAUCAAAUUUUCAUUUAUCAAGUGUUUUCAACAUACAUACAGAGGGUAAACUCACAGAAUUUUUCUUUUUUUCUUCCAUUUAAUAAAGUAUAAUUUCUCAGUAUUCUCAUCACUGCUCAUCAUGCAUUUUUUAACUUGCCUCUUUUAAUUAUAAACAAUGUUAUGAGUUGAGGACUAAAGAAACUGAGAGUUUCAAAACUUGGUUAAUUUUUUUUCUAUUUUAUUUUCUAGUUAAAGAGUGUUUCUUUUGCAUGUUCUUUAACAGGUGUUUUCUUAGAAACAUGUUUUACUAUUUUACUAAUUUAAUAUAGUUCUGUAUAAGUACAAAGCCGACUAUUGAUUGAGCUAGAAAAGGUCGUGUCAUCCACUAAUAAACUCAUGAAGCUUUUGAGAGUCAUGCCCAUGAAGAGAGGGAUGGAAGACUUCUUCAUUUAAAACUAGAAGAGAAAAAAGUGAAUUAUAUAUAUAUAUUAUACGUGGGAACAAAGAAAAAAAAAACUGACCUCUCGCUAGACCAUACAUUAUACAUAUAUUAUAUAUACUUAAACAACAAUUGCUCGAGUUGCCUAACGGAGAGGCAAACCAAGAUUAAGAUCGUAUGAAAACCAAAACCAAAACCAUAAGCACCAUUUCUAGCAGAAAAUCAAGAGAAGUUCAUACAAAUACAGCAGCAAGACACAACUUUCUCUAAAUGGUGUGUUAUUAUAUUGUAAAGAAUACUUUUUCUAUUCAAUGAAACUCAGUUCAAGAAAAUUUGUUUGGUGGCUAAAUACAGCAAUCUUAUCAACAUGGAACUUCUCCAUUAUCUGUAAGCUUACAAGAAAUGAGUACAACACAAAAAGAAUGAAAGAAUAUUCUAAAUGAAUGACACUUUGGCUCAAGUCUUCGUGAACUUUUUAGUUGGAAAGAGUGCAAGGCUUGAGAAACCAAAGAACGUCCAAUGCUUUUGCUUCUUUUUCAACAACAGAAGAAAUGGCUUUAACUCUCUCAGCAGAUACCUCUCCUUUUGUCACCUCCUUUACCUCUUCCAUUUCCUUCUCCUAAUCGAAAACACAGAUGAUCAAUCAGAGAAGUUUGAGCAGCUGUUAUAUAAUAAUAAAAACUCAUGGUUCCAUUCCUUACCUUAAGUCUAGAUCUCGACGCUUUUGAAGCAGGAAUUUUGUUCGGUGCACGUAUGCUGGAAAAGCAUUGAGGAGAUGGAGGAUUGGUUCGGAUUUGCAGUGUGUUGUCGUCUCUUUUGUGCCAUGCUCUCUCCAAGUCCAGAGGGAUCAAGACAUUUUCGCCGUUUGCCGCACUUUUGCUGCAUCAAAUUUUGUAUAAACUCAUCAUUGGCUAAACACAACAAAACGUGUUCUGGCAUAGGCUUAAAAGCCAAAAAAAUGGUACUUUCAUAUUAGGCACAUGAUUGACAAACAGCACAUGAUUCGCAAACACACAUAUACAAUAAUGAUCCUUUUUUUUUUUUGCUUUACCCUUUUAUAUUAGGCAUACGAUUCACAAACACACAACAAAACGUGGCAAGAGUCUAAAGCAAGAAGAUUGAAAACAAAUUACUCACGUAUUGAUCCUUUUCUUUUGCUUUACACUGUUGCUGAUUGAUCCAUCAGAUUUCUCUAUACUAAGUUCACCAAAUGGCUUCCUCUGUUUCUCCUUCUUUUCAAGAUCAUUCAAACCCUUGGCCGAAACCUCCUUCUCCUUCUCUGCAAAUUUCUUCUCACCCUCAACACCAUUCUCCACAGCUGAUUGCUGCUUAACAUUCUCUCUCUCUCUUACCCUAAUAGCCAUUCUCUUUAUCUCAUUACAAAACUCUGUAAUUUGAUUCAGAAUAUCUCGUCCUGCAAAUAAGUUCCUUGCUGAAAGUGUGCUUUUCAGCGAUGGUGCCCCGUUGUUCUUCUGUUGCCCAUCCUCCAUCAAUGGCUUCUUCUCUGCACUCGAUUUGAUCCCUGCCUUGGUAGCUUUGGCUGAGUGGCUUGGAGGCGUAGAAGAAUUGGGAUUCUGAUUCUCAUUAUUUGAAAAUUGAGGAGGCCCUCUUCUCUUCAACUUUCCAUCUCUGAAUUAACCCAAAAGGGGAAAUGAGAAGAAAAAAAACUCAGAUCUAUUUGAAAUGAAGAAAAUCCUACUGUCAAAGUUACUAAAACUUAAACUAUUUUAAUGAACUACAGUACCUUCCUAUACGAUCACUGGAUUGAAGAGUAUCAGUGCUGUAACCCGGGCUUGUAAGCUUCAAAAAAAGAACAAGGCAGUAUAUUUAGAAGAAAAGAACAUACGUGCAAAGAAAAAGAAAAGAGAAAACUAUGUGCACUGUGCCCUGAUUUGGCCAGAUUAGCUUAGCUCAAAUCUGCAAAAUCUUCACAUUCUUUCCGCUUAAGCGUCAAUCAAACAGUACGAAAUCAAAGGUCAAGAAAAUGAAAGAGAGAAAUAAACCGAUACCUUCGUAGGAGUUACCCGAAGUAAUUCCUCAGCCGUCUUCGGAUGCUUACAAUCUACACAGAACCAAAAGAAAACAAAACCCAUCAUUACCUAAAAAUGCAAAAGAACUCACAGAAAAGAGUUCAGAAUCCAAGAACAUGAUCGAUCGAAAAAGAAACUCACCGGGUCGACAAAACCAGGCCUCAUCAUCCACGGGGUCGUGGAUCGCGGUGAAAUCGACCCAUUUGGGGGCGUUGAUGUGCUCGUACAAUUCGUCCUCUACGAAUCUCCAUUGAACAUUUUUCCAGUCGACUUUUGCUGGUUCCAUUAUCGUGCUCGAGAAGAUGGAGAAUGGAGAAGCCGAUAAAGAAGAAGAAGAUGAUGACGAAGAAGAAGUGACCGUUGUGUUGGAGAAUUCUCUGCGUUUUUUUGUGAACGUUUUUGUGGGCAGCUUGGUUUUGACCGUUGGAGGAUUUUUCUUUUCUUUUCUUAAUAUUUUAUUGUUUAGUUAUAAAUAAAUUGUUAGGUUGUUGGGCUUUUUAAUUUUGGGCCGGUUCGCUUCGACCCAUCAACUCGGUUUAUUUUUGUUUUAGGUAAUUACACUUUAUACAAAUUUAGAACAAUAAUAAUUAAGUAUAUAUCAAUACCUAAAUAUAGCAAAAUGUAUGAUUAUUAAAUUUAUAUGGUUAAUACAGUUUAACAGAUUUUAUUAUAUUUGUAACUUUUUAUUAAUACUAUUAUAUUUAAAUAUAAUUGUUAUAUUUGCAACUGUCGUUAUAAUGUUUAUAAUUAAGCUAAUGCUUAAGGUCUAUUUACAAUUUAACUCCUAUAGUUUCAAGAAUUUCUCAAAUUUUGGUUCUUAUAUUUUAAGUCUUUAUAUUCUUAAAUGUCAAAUUUUGAUCAUUGUACUUUAAAAUAUUAAAAUUAGUCUCUCCUAGUGGUCUGUCAUUAAUUAUAUAUAAUAGCACUUUCACCAUAGAUUAUUGUAAACAACAAAAACGGUUAAACGUAUUUACAAAAUAUAACAAAAUUUUAGAUUAUAUCAAUAAAAUAGAAGAAAUUCUAGUGGUGUUUAUAAAAUCCAAAAUGCUACUAUAUUUGAUAAAUAUAUUGGCUCGUAUUGUUAGAUUUGAAAAUGACCUUAAAAACAUAUUCACUUUAUUUAUUUUGUGACAUUAAAAUCAUUAUUAAUACCGUUUCCUAAUUCUAGAUCUUAAAAUAUGUGAGCGAAAAUUAUAUUAUAAUUUUCUUAACAUUUGGGUUGGAGGUUUGUAUCCUCAAAUUUCCACUAAAACAACAAUACAAUACACUGUGAUAUAGCUGAAUAAAGGAUAGAAGCAAAAUAAGCUUUUCUAAAAUACUAUGAAAUUUAGCCAACCACAAACAAAAUUCAAUACAAAAAAUAAAUUGACAGAAACAAGUGAAAACAGGUAAGUAAAGUCUGGAAAAGUAUAUCAUUCUCACUAUUUCUUUUACAAAACUUGAAAUAAAUGAUCAAAUGAAUUCAUGGUCUUUCACUAACAAGAGUCACUUAGAUUGAACAAAUAUGUAACUCGAACAAUUGGGUUAGAUCCAAAACGUCUAUAUUAACCUAAUCUAACUCACCCCAACUCCACAACAUCCUAAUUUGAAGCAGUUCGAGGCGACCCCCAGUCCGUAAAAUGACUACAAAAUAAUCUAAUCUUAAUCUAAGAAAAUAACUAGACUUCAAUCUUAAGGCUAAGCAGUUAACAAGUUAAGAAGAGGGGUUACAUUUUCUUUCUUUCUGUUGAUCAUAAGGCAAGCGUGGGGAGGGAGAGAGUAAGGAUUAGAGUGUACUUGAUUCGCUUAGUUAAGUAGAGAUUUACAAAAUGUGGAGAGAAAUGAAAGUGAGAAGGCAAAAAUGGGAAAAGAUGAACAAGAACAAAAUGUUAGAGCUUCCAAAAUCUACUGUCAGUUAUCACUGGCCGAUGCAUUCGUGCUUCCAUCUCCGAACACCUCGAUGUUGCAGAUUGGACAUAUCUGAUAAAAACGAUGGUGAGUGACGAGGUAGAACAUCAAGUUAGAACAGAAAUGGUGGAAGUAUGAUAUGAGAAUGCCAAGAAAAUUACUGACUUUGUUGAUGGUGAGCCAUUUGGUUAUGCAUUUGUUGUGGUAGAAAUGCUUGCAGGGUAAUUUUAUUUGUUUGUCCCCUCGCUUGUACCUCAUUUGGCAAAUCACACAUCUGCAGUUGAAACAAAACAAGUACAAUCAAAUAUUCCAGUAAUGAAUACUGUAUCGAGAAAGUACCAAGAUGUAAACAUCUUCUUGUGUCUCAUAUGACUAUCUUAUUCGUAACAUUGGUUAGAGGUUCGAGUUCAACAUUGCUACACUAAAAACUAAAGAAACCAAAGUGAAUGUAUUAACGUGUACUAUGACAGAAAAAUGGAUCCAUAUGACUUCAGUGUAGACACAUUGACACCAAACCGAUUAAACAUCUCGGUUUAUAGAAACUGUCAUCUACAUUGACACCAGACCGAUUAUUGACAGAUGAUUCAAAGUUAUUCUGACAGGAGUCUUCUCAUAUACCCACCAAGUAAAGCAGAUUAACAAAGAUGGUGCAAGAUAACUGAAAUGUAACAUUUGUCAAAAACUGACCUCUCAUCGAGCUUUUUUCUUGAGAAAAAGCUCGUUAACUUGCAUCGUGCAGUCGGAAGCAAACUUAUUUGUUCUUCAGAAAGACCCCGACUUUCAGUUCCAACUGAUUCACCCAAGUCCAACAGUUCCUGUAAAACCAUAUAAGAUCAUCUGCACAGUCAUGGCUAAAGGCAGUCCUUUUAUACUCUUCUGUUUUAUACAAUAAACUUCUGUGGAUCCCAUUUAUUUGACAACCAACCAUAGUUCAUAUGGCCAUAAGAAACUAGCGGCUAGUUGAUAAUUGAGCUAAAAAUCUUUUUCUUUAAACCAAAAUAAUCAUGCGCUCAAUAAAACAUUGGUUUCAAGUGAAGAACAGCCUCAACUUCUAUAGGGCAAUCUAUUGAAGAUUUACAGAACAUUUCUUAAAACAUGUUCUUAAACAAAUCUGGUUUGUAAAUGAUAGAGUUGAAAUCAUACCUCAUAAGUCAUGUGGUCAGGAUCAAUCUCAUCUUGCCAUGUAACCUGAAGAGACGAACAAAAGAAGACUGAUACAAUGAGCCCUACCAAAUAAAAAAGGAACCUAUUCCCAUAGUUCAAAAGCAAUGGAACUUCGUUGGGCACAAAACUGAUCAGAAAGAGAAACUUUCUGACAUAAACUAAGACUUUAAGAGUAAUAACAUUUGAUGAACAUUCUACAACCUUUGAUGAUAAUAAGAUGAAACCCUAGUUCAUUAUUUACUGAACUACGUGAAAGGAUACCAAAUAAUUUUUUUACUAAGCCACGGUUCGUAAGGAGCAUUAAGUAGAUCAUGGUCAUAACAGAAAAAUAAGGCAUAUUGCGAAAUCAAGGAGAAAGCAUCAUACUUGAGACGUACUAGUUUCCUCCCGAUGGCUUAAAUCACCUGCAAAACAGGAAACAAGGUAACAAGAUGCUGGUAAGAUCCAAACGUACCAACGAUUCAACAGGACGAUGUGAUAGUGACAAACUCAUUGUUAGCUUUGAAAAGUAUGAAAUAAACAGACUCGGUAUCAAAUUUGUCAACACUUACAUUCUUCUGGUAUAGAAUGAGCAUCUACAACAUCUUCCUCCACGGAUGGCGCAUAGGAUGGUUCGGGGAUUUCGACAUUCAUCGCUGAAGUAGGAUACUCCCAUUCCCUUUCACCAACAUCCAUUGAAGGUGGUAGAUGGUGACUUUCCUCCGAAUGGCCGUAAUACGUAUUCCCAUGAUCAGAUACUCCAAAUUUGUAACAUUGCAUAUUCAUUGACCAGUAAGCAUUUCCCUGAGAAACAAAUCACCGUGCAUUUCCAAUAUUAUUCUCUCAAAUGACAAAACUCGAGCUCGAGCAUUGACAAAUAAAUUGCAUCAGUUUUUCAUGACCCGCUCUGUUACCUGAUCGAGCAAUGGUACAGCAUUGCCAUAAGCAGGCACUUGAUGUUGGUGAAGCCCUUGAAAGAAAUCCAUGAAGCUCUCUGUAUUCGUGUAAGGAAAGCCGGUGUCCAUGUAAUGCAAUUCCAUUUGUCUAUCCUCAUUCAUCUUAAGCAACAAUCACAGUAACAUUUGCAAAAAAGACCAAAAGGAAAAUAACAUAUCAAACAAAAUGAAAUAUGAAAUGAACUUAAAACCUACAUUGUCAAAGCUUUAGAAUGAACUUAUCCACAACAAUCUGUUUGGUUGAUAAUAAAACUUAGAGGAAAAGAUGAGAAAGCAAAGGAAAUUGAAGAUUUGAAAUUUUCUAUCCAAUGAAAUAGGAAACAGACCCUAAAAACAUUCAAAAAAAACUUUAAAACAAACAUGAACAUUACACAAAACCAAAAGAAAAACUUACAUUUAACUUCUUUUGUCUCCAAAACGAAAAACACAAAGAAAAAUCUUAUGAUUUUUCUUACUUGAUAGCCAAACAGAAACUUCCCCAAGAAACUCUUCACACUCUGACAGAGGAAAAAUCUGAAGGAAUUAGACAAAUGUAGACAAAUGAGUAUUAAAGAUGUUAAAGAAUCCUAAGAAUCAGAUAAAAACAGACAAAUGAGCAAAAAAUAAAUAGGUACAGAUCCCAGUAUUCAUUAGAAUCUUCAUAAUAUCCACAAUAAAAACAGAACAAAAAAAAAAGGCUUCUUCUUCUAAAACUUAUCAAACAAACAAACAAACAAAAAAUAAAGGCUUGAGAAAUGAGGUACAAGAGAAGCUUGAAAAAUGGAAGAAUGACCUUAAACUCUCUCUCUAAAACUCCUUUUUUUUUUUUUUUUUCUGUUUCUCUCUCUCUCCAAAACUCUUGAUUUCUGGCAGAGUCUUAGCAGAGAGAGAUGAAAAUGAAAGGAAAUGGGGUUAUAUGGUUUUGUGUACCCUUCCUUUCCUUCUUUGUUCUUCAAUUUGUUUUCUGGCUAUAAUCCAUUUUCUUCCAUCUCUUUGCAAAAUGAAGGUUUUUAAGCUGCUUGGAAUGGGCUUUGAAAUCUUCUUCAAAUGGCAAAUGGGUAUUUUACAAGUUUCUCUUUUUUUUUACUUGUAUUUAUUUCGAUAAACUAAAGAGAGAGAAGAAAAAGAUUGUAUUUUUCUCGAAAAAAUAAAUAAAUAAAAGGGUGGUCCACUCUAUGUUCAUGGCCUCAUUUUAUCUUAUUUUAUUUUUCUUGCUGGCCAAACAUGUUUUUAUGUCAGAAACACUAUUCAAGAAAAAUAAAAUAAAAUUCAGAAAAGAAAAACAAAGUUAAAGAUAUAUAUAUACACACAUAUUGACGUGAAUUAUACUGUAGAAUUUAGUAUAUAAAUUCAACGAAAGUAUGAUCAUAUUCAAAUAUCAAAAGAACAGAAAAAAUAAUCACUGUUUUUCCAUUAAAAUGAAAUUUUUACCAUUUUUGAGAAGUAUACAUAUUUUCCAUAGAAGCAGAGAAGCUAUUCUAGUUGGCAGAGAGCAUGUUACAGAGAUUAGGAAUAUCCCAAGGAACCAUAAAGGGAAAACUAUUAUUUUUCUAAGAAAUGGCAUUUAAAAGGAAAAAUACUUGAGAAAAAUAAACAAAUAAAGGAAAGGAAAGGAAGAGUAAAGGCAAUUAAAUUCAGUUGAGGUGAGACUGAGAGACAGGACAUGAAGCAUCAGAAGAACAAAAUAUAAAAUAAAGCUUUUGUUUCUAAACUUAAGUCUUUAUUUAAUCCCUCACAUGUUCUUAUAACUUUAGGGUAUGCCAAUAUAUUCGUAACAUGACCACGGUUCUAGUUUCGAAACUCUCUACUAUAUUUAUAGAUCUCAUCGUAAUUAAAUAUAAACUUUUAUUAUCGAAAAUAGGUUCAUAAAACUACAUUGCUAGUAUUAUAAAAUCAAUAAAUAAGGAACAUACGACGUAAAAUAAUCAAAAAUAACAAUGCGUUGGAUAACUCGUACUUGGUCAUUGGAAGCAUCGUUUAACAGAGAUAGAGAGCAAUAAAGAAUUAAAUAUUGAAGGUAAUAUAUCAUAAGUUAAUAAACUGACUUGUAGUAAACAGAAAAGAAAGAAAGAAAGAGAAAUAAUGCAUUGGUACAACUUAGACGGUACAAAAUAAAAUGAUGUGUUAGAAACAAAAGAAACAGAAGUGCUUUUGAAUUUUUAGUUAUUACCAAAACAAAGUUUCUAAAGUCUCUGAUUCUUCUGAUUCUGAAUCUUAUCCUUCUUCUCAUCUCUUCUUUCUUUCUCUCUCUUUGUAGUUUUUCUUUUUCUUGUUUUAAUAAAUCACUUCUCUCACUGUUUUUUUGGCCCAUCAAAUCCAAAAUACACACUAAAGAAUGAUAUUAUUUUACUAAAGUAAAUUUUCAUACCUGUAUGUAUUUAUUUUCGUUAUCGAAAUCGGAAGUAUAGAAACUAAAAUUUAAGAAAAUUGAUUGGAUGAGAAAUGAUAUUUUAACGUAUAAAGGUGAAAAAGGAAAAAAGAGGAUAAGAUUUUAGGAAUAGUUUAAUGAAAAAUGUGUUUGUGUGUUUGAAAUUUGGUGAUGUAAAAGUGGAAGUAGUUGACAGUACCCAAAAAACAAUUGCCUUGUCUUGUUGUAUCUUAGCCUUUGCCUUUGCCUUUGCAUUGUUUUGUUUAUGUCUUCUCCCAAUAACCCCUAUCUCCUUCCUUUCCCUAUUUCUUUACUAUUUCAUUCUUUUGGGGGAAUGUUUUUAGCUGUGUCUCCUUUCCUUUUUCUUCUUUACUUUUAUUUUCAUAUACUCCCAAAUCUACUGUCAUUUACCCAACUCUCUGUUCUUCAUUCCUAUCUUCUUCAUUUCCAUCUUUACAUGCAAUGGGUUCGUAACACAACCCUCUACUAAUCUCACAUAAGAUUACGAGUUGUAGAAGUAUAUUGAGUUUUAGUAGGUGAUUGUGAUGAAUUGGAUUCUCAUUCACUCUAAACAACAAGACAUUAUACGUAAUUAACUCGAUGAUGUUUUAAUGGCUUUAUUGAGUAAGAUUUUCUCGUUGAAGAUGUGUUGUAUGUUGAAAACUUAGUUAAUACUUAUGUUUCUUGUCACGUAUCGAGAGAGGAGAAUAACUUAUGACUUUAUUUCACGAUGAUUUUUUUAUUUAUUUAGAAAGAUGGUUUUCUAGAUAGCAUUCUCCCCCUCGUCCACAACGAGUUGGUUAGGGAUCAGAGUAAUUAGUUUGUGCUACUAUUACUAUUUGUUGACUAAAAUAGCAAGACAUUUAUUGUACACCCAUGCAUGACGUUUGUUUGACCGCUAGGUCAACAACCCUAAUUUCAUACUCCCUCUAUGUAUUAUAAUAGGUCAUAUAAACAUACUUUUAAAUGUAAUUUGGAUCUAUUAACUUUAAUGAUAAAUUUAUAGUGUGAACAAAUAAAAUAUGGUAUUACUUACUUAAAUACUCUAAAUAGUAUUCCUAUAGUGUUCUGUGGUUGUUAUUUGGUCAUGAAUUAAGUGUUUUUCUUUUAAGAAUUCUAAAACGAGGUGUGAAAAAAACUUUAUAGACAAAAAGUAGACUUAUUAAUCACUGCCUAAGCUUUUUUUUUUUUUUCUUAUAACAAUGUUUGAAAUUUCUUUUGAAUGUUUAAUAUUAAAACUUGCUCACUUAGCUAAGCAUAAGAACAAAAGGUAUUUUGAAUAAUAGAUAUUUGGUAAGUAAAAUGAUGAGAUAUUUGCUCUCAACAUCAUCAUUAUCUCCUACCUCCACACCUUCUAAGCAAAGUGUUAACCAAAACCCAAUAGCUUAAAAUAAAAACCUACUCCCUAAUUAUUAAAACAUAUAUAAAAAUAUCACCGCUAUAAUAUAUACCGUCGUUUAUGAUAUAUACACCUAAUUAUCCACCGAACAUACCAUAUUAAAUUGUUUCCAAAUCCUUACGUUCAACACAUUCAUUUCUCUCUCUUCGUAGGUUACCAAACAAUCAAACAUAUCAACGAUGGUCUCCACGUCACCAACGUAAACUCAAUUCGAUUUGAAAUUUAAAUAAUAUUUGAAAGAAAAUGGAAAACAAAUAUGGGAUUUGUGAAAAAUGGGUCAGAGUCAUAAUCAUAUUUCCAUGUGAAAGAAAGAAAGAAAAAAAAAAAGAGUAAAAAUUGUUAGGCAAAAAGGACCACUACAAAACCUUGCUCCCAAGCAACGAAUUAAUUCUUUUGCCCUUUUUUCUAAAAUAUAUUUAUUGUUUUUUAUCUUUCUAAUUAUUAUAUUAAAACCCAAUUAAUUUAUUGUUUGCUCAUUUCAGAAAUUGGGAGAAAAAAUUAAAAAAGUUGGUCAACAAUUUUACAAAAAUAAAAUUGAAAAGAAGAAAAAGGGGAAUUGUUCCAAAGACAGAUUCUAUUUAAUUUGAUUGAGUCAACCCCGCUGAUGUUGGGGAUUAGUUUCUCAUAAUUAUGUUAUUACUUCUAAGUUUGUUAAUUAACUACAUCUCAUUGUACUUAUUGAUUAAUUAAACUAUUUCAAACUACACUUACUUCAUUUACUUUUUAAUUCAAAUAUCUACCGUGUAAUCCAUAGUAAAUUUUUAACAUAAAUGCAUGUUCGUAGUUUGUUUUUUUUUUUGUUUUUUUUUUAUUCGGCUAAAAUUUAACUUUUUGUUUGCUUUGGAAUUAUUUUCAAACAAAUGAUUUUUUUCUAAAAAAUAUUCAAUUAUUGGAGAUAAUAAUACUAUAUACACAACAUAUAAUUGAAAUAUCAAAUUCGUCGUGAUUUUUAAAAGUUAAAAUUUUAAAUAUUAAAACAUUUGGAUGUAAGAUUUAAAAAGUUGUAGAGUUAAUCGAGAUCUAAGGACUUUAUAUAUAUACAAAAAAGAAAAUUAAAACUAUAUAGAAAAAAGACUUGGUCUAGGUGGAGAGAGGGUUGUAAGGUAGAUUUAGUACUAGAAUAACUAACAAUUUCGAUAAUAUGUGGAGAAGCAAAGUUCAUCCAACCUUAAUGAAGUGGUUUAGUGAAUAGAGAGAAAAGAUUUUGGUAAUGUAAAAAUUGGAAAAUCUCCAUACCAUAAGUUAUUUAUUUAUUUAUUAUAUAAUAAUAAUAAUUGGAGAAAUAUUGAAGAGGUAAGUAACAAAGAGAUGAUUUGAAGGGUUGGGAUAAUGAAUGAAAAGAAAAGGAAGGGGGAAAUGGGAUUCCCUAUAAAAUCUUUAUAGAGACGUAAAAUCAAACAAAAGAAACUGUCCAACUUGUUAGAGGACAAGACCAAAGCAAAAGGAUGAGAAUUGAGAAUUGAGAAUUGAGAAUUGAGAAGAAGCUUUUUUAUUACCAAACCAUAUUAUUGUUUCUUUCUCCCCCUCGGACCCACUCUCUUACCUCUUUCUCUUUUUUUUUAACAUAUUUCUCUUUCUUUCUUUUUACCCAACCAAGCCACACAAAAAUAUAUUUGUAUAAUCAUCUACAUUAUUAUUAUUAUUAUUACCAACAUAAUCAAACCUCUUAUAAAGGUUGAUAGUACAAUUACAGUAUCAAUUCAAUUAUAUUUAUUUUAAAACUUUUGUACUGAUAAUUAGAGUAUCUAUUCAUUGGGUCAUACUCAUUUAACUUAAAAUGUCACCUUAAACUUCAAUAUUAAUUUAUAAAGUGAUACAACAUGAUCAAAUUUUAUUGAUAAAAUGUUUGUCUCAAGAUUAAUGAAUUAUUAAACUUAGAAGUGUAUAGAAAUAUUCGGGUUAACAACAAAAUUAACUCGAUUGGUUAUCCUAACCUAAUUCAAAAAAUUCGAGUUGAACCAAAUUGAAUUGGCAUAUUGAUUUUUUUUUUCUUUUUAUUUAUAGUUUAUUUUAGGUUUAUAUAUAUAUACACACACGCAUAUACAUACACAUAAUCGAGUUGGGACAAGUCAAUUCACCUACGGUUUGAGUUACUUUUAGAUUUAUAUAUAUACACGCACAUAAUAGAGUAAUCUAGGUCAAUCUAGUUAUCGAUUUUUUUAAUAAGAAUUAUAGAGUUAUUGAAUGGUCUCUUUUGGCAUUAAGUUUAGGUGGGCUACCAAAUUUUGAAUAGAAUACAAAAAUUACUACAUUUAUCUUUCCAAAUUAUGUUUGAAGAUACUAAUAAUAGAUUUGUUUUUACCCUUUCUUGCAAAGGACAUUUUCUUCAUCUUUUAGGAGCGUUUUUGUAACUACAAUUUUAACUCGUAGUCAAUCAGUUAGAAAUAAAAGGCAAAUCUAUAUAAUUCUACUUGAUGUUCAUAAACAUAAUCUACAUUAUAUGAGUAGGUAAAUCAAUCAUUUGUGAUUCUGUGAUAUACAGAUUCAUUUCCUAACGAUUCUUUAAUUGAAAUGCUAAUUCUCCAUCGCUCAAAUGAACUGAAUGAAGAAACUUUAUUGAAUGGUGAUAUGAUUAUAAGCUAAGGACACUUUUUCUGGUACCCAUAAUCUCAUCUCGAAAAACAUAAAACCCCUUUUGACCCUCUUGCUAGGGAAAGACUACAAAAUACAUAAACCUUAAACCCUUCUCUUCAACUUGCUCUAUUAUUUUUAAGCUUUCAACAGCUAGCCAGAGUUCACUUUUCCCGACUCUCGCAAGUCUCAAGCCCAUUAACAACCGAGGGGGGCCUAAACACACUAAGUGCUCUAUAAACUCUUUCUCCACUAUAAAAAUGAAAGCCUACAAAUUUGCUUCUUGCGAUGAGACCAAAGUUGCCACAUGACAACAAAUCACGCCUAUCUAUCUUUACCCAAUCAUAACAAAAAUCCUUCAUAUCAAUCACAAAUCUAUCUAUACUCGAAAGUGCCAAUAAAACAAGAAGAUUUUCCAUAACCAAAUGACAUGACUAGAAAUUUUUUUUGUCUAUGUUUUCCUUGGUGGAAUCGUACAUGAAUAUUGUCCAAGCACAAGUCUUUGCUCUAAGGGCAACCUUGUUGACCCCCAAAUGGCCUCCACAUGGAAACAUCAUAAUCAUGGCUAGAAAAGGAGACCAGCCCUUGGGAAGGCUAUAUUCAUCGAGAGGUGAUAAGGUAAAAAUUUGCCACCCACCUGUCUUUCCAGUCUGCUCUAAGGAGUAAACAUUGGACCAAUCCCUCAUUAUCCAAGGAGCUUGGUCAAUAAAAAUUCCCCAAUAAUCACCAACUUUACACCUAAAACCUCUGACAAAGAGAUCUCUACCCCACAAAAUGCUCCUCUAGAUGAAAAGGGUGCUCGCCUAUGGGGCCAUAAGGAAGCCCCAUCCACGAAAUACUUAUCCAUCAAGAUUUUAGUGACAAAGCCAUUAGGCUCUCAAAAAAUAUUCAAGCUGUAAUUAGCUCAAAGGGGUUGGUUGAAAAAAUAACUUAAUUCUAUAUUAGUCAGUUUAUCUUGAAGUGCCCAUAUCUAAUCUAUAUACUUUCAACAAAUUUAAAAAGAAGUAUACGUUGUUAGAAGGCUAAAAGAACUUCAUACUAUUGAUUUGUUUACAACUUAGUCUCUUUUAGCAUCUACUAGAAGGCUAAAAAUUGCAUUCCAAUACUUUCCAUGUAAUUCCAUGCAAACUUACAAACUAAGUGACAUUAGCCACCUCGAGCCUCGCGUCUGGUGGCAUCAUGCAACAACUCGACAUCAACACCAUCUGGUGGAAGUUGAACAUAUCUCACCACUGAUCCCCUGAUGAAACAGUUUCUCACAGAAAGCUGAAGACAGAAUUUGAACUCCAUAAGUUUAAUGACCACCAACAAAAAAUUACAUGUUCAGCUGACAAAAUGUGAAAUAAUUGACUUAACAUCAUGGAAAAACAAGAAUCUAUACCAUUCCUAAAAUAAUCAACAACCAACAUCUGUCUUUCCACUACCAUCUUCAUAAAGUAGUUUGCAAAAAAAUUGUUUCUCUUUUCAGAAUUUAACUAAGAAUUGAGGUGUUUCUUUACAAUAUGGGAAAUCUAUAGCAAGGACAUGGAAAGAGAACAAGAGAAAACAUGAAGAUAACUCAAAUAGAAACCCCGUUACCCUCCCCUUCAAAUCAUCAAAUAAAAACAACAACAACAAUGUCAAUGACUCAAUGGUUAAGACAUCUUUAUUUCUCUAGAGAGAAUCUUCUAAUUAAAUGAAUCAAAGUAACCUUAAUACAAAAGAAGCAGAAAUGAAAAGGGGUGCCUAUGAGAAAUGGUAAACAAAGAAAAACAAAAUCAAAGUUGGCCUCGCCUCAAGUGUAGAAAAUCAAAAUAAUUGAUCAAAUAUAUUGCAUAAAUAUAAACACGUCUGGAUACCAUAUGAGGGUAUUUUUCCUGAUCAACAACCCUGGUGUUUUCCAGUUUGAUGUUGAGAUACUGAUCUACAGAAUGCAGAGUUCCUCUAAUUGCUAGGUCGUUCUUCAACUCAACUGUCACCUCUCUGCCCACCAAAUCCUUGAAGUACGAGAAAAACAACUGACAAACAAAACGCAAAUCAAAUCAAAAUCCACAUACAUAAACCAAAUAUUGAAAAAACCGUGAAGGCCAGGUUAAAGACACGAGAAGAAAAAACAAAAAAAAGAAGCAACAAGCAACAACUUGAGCACCUAAAGUAAGAUAAACAGUAACGAAAACUUAAAAGACAGAAACCAGUAUGUAAAUGGAGUUACCAUUUUCACUAGAGGUUUGAGGUGAUAGCCUUCAGUCUAUCUACGCGUGAAGAUCAACGACUGUUGAAGGUUGAAAUGUCGUCCGAGCUAUCAAUUGGGAAAACACGCCUUUUUGGAUUUAGAGAAUAAAAGAUAAUCUAUAUCUGUACAAUAGAUGAUCUUAGAAAAAACACUUUCAGUUUUAAUGAAUUAUUAUAGCGUUAAAAUAAAUUGUUUGUAAACGAUACAUAUUAUGGCAAAUUAUCAUCGUGUUAAAUGCAUAAAUUUAUUAAUCAUUAUUUACUCCAUCGAAGCAUGCCACCAGUUGAAGUCCAGUGUCUAUAUAUAAAUCUAAUACAUUAUAAUCAAAACCUGCUAAAUUAUCCCCCAAAAAAAAAACACCGAAUUCAUCUGUGAGUGGUUUUGAAUGGACAAAAAUGCAAGACAAUGAAAAUGGGAAAUGCAGUCAAGGUUAGAAAAUAAAUGAAAGAAAGUGCAAGAACAACAAGAAAUACGAGGUAAUCAAACACUAGGCAAGAGUUUAGAGAUCAUACCCAAAACAUUUGAUCUUCACAGUAUUAUGAAAUAUCAAAAUGCCAUAACAAAUAAGGAAUGGGUUUUACAAAAGACGAACCGCUAAAAAAGUGAAUAUAUCAAGAACUAACGGAUCUGAGUAAGAAAUUGAAAGAGAGAUAGUGGUUGUGAAAGAUAGAUAAAGGAGUGUACCUUGAGUGAAAACCGAUGGUUACGGUGGCGCGUUGGCAGAAAUGAAAUCUUUCUGGCGGAAAGAACGGUUUUGUCUUACGAACAGUUUUAGGGUUCUAUGGAGACGCCAACGAUGAGUCGCAAUUCUCGGGUAAUAGAAUGGGCCGAUAUUGGGCCGGUUGGGCCUAUAUUAAAACCUUUACCCAUAGAUGAUUGCGGAAAAUGUUUUUUUAAAAAAAACUUUUUUUAUUUAAUUGACUUUUUUUUUUGCCCCUCCCCAAAUUUUGUCAUUUCAUCGAAUUAAUUUUUUAAUAUUUUUUAUAUCCACGAGUUUCUAGGUCUCGACUAAUUUCAACCAACAUCCCAUUUUGGUGUCAAGGAAACCCCUAGAAAACUUUUUAAUUUGGUUCAUAUAUUUCAAUUUUUACACUUUUAAAUACGAUGUGAUAUUAGAUACUCAUCUUUUGUCUUUAGUGGUAAUAUCUAUUGACUCAUUUAACACAACUACAAUCGAUCAUGUUCAACUUUUUUUUUAUUGCAUUUAGAAAAAAUUUAAAUUUUACUUUGUAGUUAUUUUAACUAAUUAACAAACACUAAUGUGAAUAUUAAGGAAAGAAUAUAAAUUUAAAGUGAUACAAAACUUUGACCUGGAGAGUGAAAUUGUAUCCUUUUGAAACUUGUAUACCAAAUUGAAAUCAAACUCAAAAUUUGUGAACCUCAAACACGAACUAUUAGAAAUUGAAACCUUAAACGUAGAAUGAGCUAUAAUUACAUGUAUCGUUUACUUGAAAUCGAAGACCGAAACACCUAUAAAUUCUUAAAUACAUUAUAUAUAUAUAUAAUGUUUAGGAUUAUAAUUGGCGUGGAAAAGAAAUAGAAAUGGAGUUUGUAAACAGGUGAAGUAGGUAUUGGGUAACUAUACAAUUUCAAUGCUUUGUUUUGUACAUUGGAAAAAUGUAUGGCCCAUGGACCCAUCUCCCACCAUCCCCUAUCCUUCCAUUCACUUCUUUUUCAUCUCACUUUCUUCUCUAUUUUACACUCUUUUUAACCAUAAACUUUGAAACUAAACUAUUCAACAUAAGAGAUAUAUUAUUAAUUAAAGAGAAAGUUACGUGCUCAUUGGAUUCAAUUCAUUAUUCAACAUCUGAUAAUCUUAGUAAUCUCAUGUAUUUCUUCUUUGAUUUCUUUGAUCUGACUACAUCAUCCUUACUUGUCUUAAACUACUUUCAAAACUAAAAUCUAUCUCCACAAAUCAUCACAAAAUCUUUUUCUCCUCGUUCAAAUGUUUCAAGGGACCACCCAACAAAAGACUACUCUAGGUUAAGUAUACUUAAAUUUGAACCUCAUAUGAUUGAGCUACAAAAAGAAAAAUCUAACUUGUUAGUAUGGAUAGUAAAUCUUUCUAACUAUGUUUUCGUAUCCACAUAAUCUCUCCUUUUUAGAUGUGAUCUCGAUUCAUGUAUCUUUUCUAAACUCAUAUGUUACAACCAAGUUUCUUAUUUAGUUUAGAUAACGUUGUUCAGUUUGAUGAUAGGUUUAUAUUUAGUCAUAAACUUUUAUUUAAUAUUGUUAUUUUUCACAAUUUUUUCUAAUGUCUAGUAUUAUGUGUUAGUCAGCUGUCAUACUGAAGUCAUUAAAGAACAUGAAUUUUUCCUCUAAAGAUUAUCCUGGUUCAGUAUUUCAUUUAUGUAAUUGUUGUACUAAAAACAAUCUAUAGACGAAAUAUUUUUCAGUUAAAAAUUUAAAGUUAAAAGUGAAAUAUUUUUUUCAGUUAAAAAUUUAAAGUUAAAAGUUGAUAUGAGCUUUUGAAACACAUAGCAUAAAUUUUGAAAAUAAUUUUGAGAUGUCCACUUAAAUAUAAGUUAAAUGAUUAAAAUAUACUAUCUCAAUACAUCAAUAAGUUAAAUGUUGAAAUUUAUGUACCAAAAAUAAUAUGAUUGUAUUUGAAGAAGAAAACAAAAGUAAAUUUUAGAGGUGCAAUUUUAUGAUAAGAAGAAUAUUAAUGUAGACAUAAGUAAUUUGGAGCAUCUAUUAUAUGAUAUUGUUUAACUUUUUGCAAGUAUUAUUUGGAGAAUAAUAAUCCUCAUGGAUUAAACUUUAUAGGCAUUGGUAGAAGUGACAAAUUGAAUUAUUUUAUUUUAAUUUAGAAACUUUCUAAAUUCAAUGAUUAGCUUUAAUCAAUCUCUUCUUCAAUAUCAUUUUCUUGUUUCCCCCAAUCAUAUCAUUUCCAAAUCAUUUCACCUGCUAAACUCAAUCAUCAUUAUUCUACCCGCCAUGCUUUUGUUUUUGACCCAUUUUUCAAUUUUCAUAAGAAUACAUAAUUUAGGUCGCAUCUACCAAACCAUGAUGAAAAUGAAUGUAAUCGUAAUAAAAUUCUAUUGACAAAUCAAUGAAAACGAGCUUGAAUCGUAAUCGUAAUUUGAUUGUUUUUUAUCGAUCACGUAUACUUAAAGUUAUGAAUUUUGUAAAAUGUAUUGUUAUUAUUACCGUUAUUUCUAUCUUUGAGGGUCAAGCAACAUCGAUACCGAUAACAAUAAUGAUUGUUGUAAUGGUAAUUAUAUCGGAUAGAACGUAAUUAUAAUUUAGGGAGUAAUCGAAUUAAUUAAGCACCACUCUCAACUCAUCACUUCGGAUUGAGUUAUUUCAUUAGAGAUUUGGAUGGGAAACCUAAUGUUUCAUUACAAAUUGUACAACACAAGUAAUCAAACGAGAGUCAAUAAUUUUGUAUUCUCUUGUUCAUCUAUUACGUUUCCACCAAAGUAUGAACGUGACGUAGGUUUUAAGAAAAAAUUGUUAUAUAAGAACAUAUAUCAUAAAAACAAAAUCUUUUAUACUAAUAGCUAAUACAUCAUAUUGACAAGUACAUUAAACUAGUUUUGUAAUUUCAUUAUAAAAUAUCAAUAUAGACUUUUUGAUAGCAAAUUAUAAUCUUCCUUAAAAUUGAAUCUGUUUACAUUGUCAUGAUAGUGUGGGUCUAAAUUUGCAUAGAUUUUGUUUUUGAUUUUAUCAAAAAAAGAGGACUACAUAUAAGUGAAUAUCUAAUUCUUACAUACUAUAUUUGAAUUCCAAACAAAAGAAAAAUAUGUGUGUAAGUUAAUCAGAAAACAAUGUUAUGGAAGGUUUUGUGGGACUAUUGGUAUAGAUUAUAGAUCCAUUUUGUGCCACAAAUUAACUAUAGGGUAUAUCCUAUAUGAUUUGUGUGUAUGAAGUGGGAGAUAAGAAGUCGUUGUCCUAAAAAAUUAUGUUCGUUUUAGAGCUAUCUUUUUUUUAUCCAACCCAAUUUUAUUAUAAAAAAAAGCUAUUUUUUUUAUAAAAAAAAUUUACGUGAAGUUAUUGUAAAAUUUUAGUUUCUUUUGUUAUUAUGGAUAGAAGAAUGACGGUAAAAUGAUGUUUAUAAAUGGAAAACUGUCAGAAAUGACAAAUUUGAUAAAAUAUUGCGACGAUGACAAUGAGCGAUUUCAAAUGGUAUUUUAAAAUUUUAGGUUGAUGUUUGAAUUGUGGUAAAAAGUUGGAGUGGAUUAGAAGGAAUAUAAGGGUGAGAAAAGUAGUUUUAGUGGAAGUGCUUUGGAGACAUACUACCAUGACGGUUGAUUAUUUGAAAUUGUUUGACAUUUACCUUUUGUGUUUCUAUUAUUGGGCAUUAUAUAUUCUAUCUCAAUUCCACACCAUUCAAUAAUUCCUCUAGAUAUUUUUAUUCUCCAACACUGCAUAUAACCUCUAAAAAUUCCCUUCAACCAAAAACAAAAACUAUCCUAAAUGCUUUAUUUGGUCUAGAAACGAAGUAUCGAAUAAAUCGAUUAUUGUGUUUGACAAUGACAAAUCUAUAACUUGUGUCAGAAUCUCAGUACUAAAUUGUUCCCGAUCCUUUAUCAUCACUUAUGUAGACUAGUGUUCGAGCUAGGAAUGAUUGAAAUUAAGUGAAUAUAUACUUUUACUCGGACUCGAAGAAUGAAAUUAGAGAAAGGCAUUACCAAAAACUUGGAGUGUUCUUCAAGAACUCAACUCAAGCAACCAUUUAUAAGAACAAACCUUUCGUAUCUAAAUUAAAUACAUAAAAUGGCUUCGAAUUGAUAGGGAUUAAACACUUGUAAAUCUUUCAAUGUGAGACCAAAGGAAAAGGCUAGUUUUAUGACUUCAUUGUUAUUAUAUUCAAAGUGAUUGACGAGUUAUUGUUCCAACAAACAAAAGUCUCUAAUAGUAAUUUUUUAUAUAUGUAAAAAUUAAUAUAAUUCAACUGACAUAAUUUGUGUUUCGUUAUUGACUUUGAAGUCAUAGAUUCAAUUCCACUCACACUUCCUAUUCCUAUCCUACACGUGUAGAAAAAAUAAAUAGAAGUCAUUCUCAAUGUUCAAAUUUUAAUCUAUUUUUUUUUAAUAAAACUAUCAUUUUCAUUAUUUUUGGAAUUUGACUUUAAAUACAAAAUAUACCCAUGAAAGAUGAAAACCAAAGUCAUAAGAGUUGUGUGAAGACAAAUUAAAAAACAAAAAUCUAUAAACACGUAUGAAAACUAAUCAAACAAAAAAAAACCACAUAGAAUAUAAAUAUACGAGACUAAUUAAUAGUAAGAGUAGAUUGCAUGAACUACUCAUAGAGUAUGGUCGUAACUAUACAUAUUAUACUCUCAAACUUAUGCAUUUUCUUUUGUCAAAGUGAGUUUAGCUCAGCAAUAAUUGACACGAUCUUUCAUUCUAGAGAUUGAAGGUUCGAUUUUUCAUGCUUAGUUAUUGUACUAAAAAAACUUAUACACAACUUUUAAACUUUGAUUCUCAAAUAUAUGAAAUUGUAACAAUGACAUACAUUCGAGAACUCAAUAAUUUUUGUUAUUUAGAGAUCCAAUUCAUGAUUAUAAAAUGAAAGAGUUAAAUUGUAAUAUAAUAGUUUGUAUAAGUGUUGAUGGUGUGAUUACAACAACCCACAUUUGAUAUGGGCAAUUCUUGUCAAUUCUUGCCAUUUGCUCCAAUAAUAAUAAGAAGAAGAAUAACAAUAAUAACAACAUAUGCAACCAAUUGGAUAUCAAGCUUGAAAGGUACAAAAUGGAAGGAGGCAAAGGCAUUGAUUGGCAGGCAAAGCAAACACACACAUGAACACAAAACACAAGUCUUUUUUUCUUUCUUUUUCUCAAUAAAUAAUUAUAAAAAGAAAAACCCUAUUGAAAGAUAAGGCCAUCAUCACCCUUUCUUUCUCAAAAAUUUAUUAAUGAUGAAAAAUAAAUACAAGUGCUUUUUUGGGGGGGCAGAAAUAUGACAUCAUAAAUGUGAGUGAACAGUGAGUUCCAAUGAUAUGAAAAAGAAAAAGAAAGUAAGUGUGUACUGUUUAGCCAUCCCCAUGCAAUUGCUUUCAUCUCAUCUGCUCAUCCCAAAAACUCACUGUUCAUUCAACUCUAUCUCUUUUUAACUUAUUUUAAUUACAAACACAUAAAUAUAUAAGCAAAUAUAUUAAUACCCUUUCCCCCUAUAUUGUCCCUAAACUAGUCCCCUGCCCCUAUCAUUUUGGCCUACCCCACUUCUUCUCCCCAUCACUUUCACUUCCCUAUUUGCUUCCAUAACUACUACCUAGGGUUUAACUUUGUACGUAUAUACAUGUGCUUUUCUUAUACUGUAUGAUAAUUUGUAUCAACUGUGAAUUUUUACACCAUGUGUUUACUGCAUAAUGGAUGUAAUUAAAACUUCUGUGGUUGUGUUGAUAAUUUGGGUCAGUGUAGCUUUAAAAUGUAUAUAUUAUGACCUCUUUCCAAUUAUAGUUUUUGUUAUUAACUUCAUCCAUUAUUUUAACGUGACGUGAUUACUUAGUUAUUUAACGAAAACAUGGCAAGUUGAUUUCAACUUAUUUAAACACUUGAUACUGAAAAUUCAAAUGGUAGGGACAACCACAUCCAUGAAAAAAAUCAUAAAAGUUUAAAAGAAGUACGCGAUGUAACUCACCGACGAAUUUAGUAUAGAUCCACCGUUAACGUAACUUUGAAUGUUAAAAUAAAAUUGUAAAAAAUAACUUUUUGACAAUAGGGGUUGUGGAGUGACGAAUCGAACCUCAAACCUCAAAUUUCAUCACACAAAUUCAUGUAAAUUAAGCACAAACCCUAAGUUUAGGGGGAGGAAUCCUAGUUUGUCACAUAAAUUAUUGGGGGUAUACAUAUAUAUGUGGUGUGGGGUAUGUGUGAGAGGGGGUGAAUAAUGUGAAUAUAUAUAUGUGUAUAUAUUAAUGAAGAGAGGAGUUAAGGGCAGGGUGUCCUAAAAUGAGAAGAGGAAGGGGCACAUAAUGAUGGCAUUUGAAGACAGAAGUCAGGGUCAGGGGAGAAGGCAUGGAGAAGAGGACCCUUGAGAUAAAAAGAAAAGAAAAAGGUUAUACUAUAUACACACAUAUAUAUAAUGUUGUGUGUCAAUAAUAAUGAUAAUAAUGUAAAUUACUGUAUGGUAUUGUGGCAGAGGGAAGAAGGGGGUUAUUUUGUUGUUAUUUCAAAGAGAGGUUAUGUAUAAUAAAACCAAAAGUAAAAUUGGAAAAAAACAAUCACUAAUUCCAUUUUGUUGUGGGUUCCAAGAUUGGGAGACAAAACUCUUUUUUGUGUUCAACCCCUAAUUUCUUUAUAAAAAAUAAAUGUUUCUGUAGAAAUUCUGAAAAGGCUUUGGAAGAGAUGAGAUGUGAAAAAUAAUAUAUAUAUUACAUAUAGUUUAUAUAUAUUAGAAUUCAGAGGGAGGAGAAAAGAGAGAGAGACUCAUUUCCCAAUUACCAUGCACACUCGUGUUGUCUUGAAUGCAUUAAAUUAUUGCCCUUUCAAUUUAAUUCUACCCACAUUAAUUUCUUUGUCUCGAAAAUUCUAAAAAAUAUUAGGUUAAAGUACAAGUUUAGUUGGUUUGAUAAUAUUUCGUUGAAAUUUUUAUUUUUAUUUUAUGUUUGAUAUUCUUUUAUAGUUCAAAUAUGAUUAGAUAAAUAAUCUUGAAAUUAUUAAACUUAUUUUAGUAAUUUACUCAAAACCUAAUCUUUCCUAAUUCUCUUAUUUUAUAUAUUACCAAUAAUCAUGAGUUCAUAACAUUUUAAAGCUCUUAACCUAGGCUAGCUAAGAUAAUUAUACUAAUUACGUUGGUUAAUUAAUUGUGUACUUACUUUAAUAGGUUAGUACACUCACAGGGAAAAGAAAAGCAUGUUAACAAUUUUAAUUCUUCCCUAUAACAACAAUCACAUUUUUAAAUACAUUUCCAUGUUUAAAGAAUAUUGAUAAUACUUCUAGAAGUCUCGCAUAUUUAUUAAGUGUCGUUUUCUUAAUUUACUAAAAAAGUUCGAAAUAUAUUAAUUAAGGUAAAUUUAAUUAUAUAUCAUGAUAAUUUUACAUAUAAUUUUGAUCUUAAAUACAAUAUAUGAGUGUAUUAAAGAGGUAUUUCAAUAUAUCUUCUUCUAAUUUAUUUUAUCACGUAAUUAUUGUUUAAGUUUUCGAACUAGAUAGUAAAUGAUAUCUAUACCAACCAAGCUAUGUUGGGAUUGUAAUAUAAAAUAUUAAAUAUAACACCAACCCACUUGGCUAUACAUAUACAUGAAAACAUUGAACUUUCUAUUAUGAUUUUAACUUCUUUUUUUGUUUUGAUGAGUUGGGUUUAGGUUGGUUUAAUAUAAACUAUCUGAUUGGAUUUGGUUUGCCUUUAUACAACCAGAACAUUAUUAAUGGGAUUUGGGAAAGACAUUAAUUAAUGGUAGAAGCUCUAUACUUUAUUUUAUAUAUAUAUUCAAAAUUGAUUUUUGUCGUUUAUCAAUUAAAUUAGGAAGUAAAUUAUAUGUUAAUAAUUAUAGUGUAAUUAAUCAGUAUCUAUCACUCACUCUCAGAAAAUAGCUGUCAUAUAUAUGUGUGUAUGUGUAUGUGUAUUUAUUUUUGGAGAAAUUCAUUUUAGCAUUGCUGCAAGCAAAAGGUACCCUUGUUCUACGCUUCUGCCACACCCCAACUUUUUCAAACCCUUUUUCUUCACUUCCCUUUACUUUAGCCGACAUCUUAUUUUACUCCCAAAAUUACCCUCUUCUCUCGACUCGAACGUAGUUCAAUCGAUUUAAAAUAACAAUAAAUUUAUUUUAUAUAAAUAGUCAUUGUUUCUUAUGUGUCGUUGAUCAUGAAUUGUAACUUUCUACAAAGUUGAACGUUUAAAUCUUUCAACUACUUCUAGAUUUAUUUCACCGACGUUUAAGUUCUCAUAAAGUAGUUUGUCGUAGAGUCUUUGAUGUCAUUCAAUUUAUAUUUUUCUUAUUUAUAUAUGUAUAUUAAACUUGAUUUACUUUAUAUAAUUAAAGUAAAUAGUCAACCCAUAUAUAUAUUUAUAUAUCAUUUUUUUUAUAUAAUGUUCAAAGUUAAAUUGAUAUUAUUUAUUUUAUAAAAGAAUGUCAUCAGUUAGUUAGAAAAAUAAUAUAAAUUAUUUUAUAACUAAAUUAUAUGCUUUAAACAAAAGUGUAAAUAAUUUAGCAUCAUAAAUCUAAUACUUUUUAAAGAUUUUUUUUAGGUCUCUAUUUUUACAGUUGUCGUCAUACCCCGUCCAAAGCUCCUUCUCUAACCCCUAAUCUAACCCUAAAAGAGGGUACGAGAGUUAACAAACAUUGUCAUACUUGACUGUUUGACUCAUUUAAACGUCUAGUCAAGCUUUCCUCACCUAAGGUGUAUUGUUUUUGGCUCCUAACCUGAUGUCCUUAGUCAAAAUUCUUUCCGCAAGGUCACUUUGACUACAAUGACACACUAACCAUGACACUUAACAAACUUUUAAUGAGAAUUUGCUUGGGAGUUCUUAGGUCUAGAGUAGUUGUGUUGGUCAUAAAUAAUAGUAUAGUUUCAACAUAAAAAUAAUAACAACUUAACCUUAGUGUGUAUAUAUAUAUAUAUGCCACACAAAGCACAUUUUCCUUUUCCUUCCUAAUAUUAACUUGUGUUUGUAAUAAUUUUGUAUCAGUUGAAAGCUACUGUAGGUUGUCAUGUAAUUGAAAAUUUCAACUAUAUAUUUCAAUGUAAUGAAACCAACAAAAAAAAAAAAAAAAAGAGUAAAAGUGAGUGACCAUUUAGAAUAAAAUUGAAUGUGAAAUUAAUGAGUAUGGGAGUUUGGAGAGAGUGGUAGUUAUGAGAUCUUAGUCAAUGUUAGAUUUUGUUCUUAAUUAUCAUAUUUAUUAUAUAUCUCUUUCUUUUUUCAUUGUUUAUUAAAUUUUGUUAAUAUAUAUAGUUUUGUUUUGUUUUGUUUUUAUGCUUGAUAUUGAUUAUAUAUAAUCCUUAAUCAUAAAUAAUUAACAAUUAUUCUCAAUGGUUUUCUCCCUCUCCCUCUCCCUCUGAGCUGUAUAGGCUUAAAUUUUUGUGUUUAAGGUUAAUGCUUUAAAUUGAUGCUUUGAGAGAUUCCCAAACCCUAAACCCUUGGUUUUCUUCUUAUUCUUCUCUUUUUGUAUUUUAUUUGUUUGCUCACAAAAAGCCACACCCAUUUUAUAUCUUUUAGUGGGAAAUAAUUGAACUCAAACAAGUUUUCACAUAUCUAAUAAUAUACCUAUAUUUUAGGUACAGUGUGGUGUAUUGUCAUACCUAAGAAGUAUACUUAAUAAUUAAGAUGUGUAUUAUCGAUCAAUAAAACACAUAAAUUUAAGUUAUGUAAAUAUUUGUAUUGCUAAAAACAUUCUUUUAAGAUAGAGAAGUUCAAAAACUAGAUUCACACAUUUGUCAUACAAAACAUGGACCGAUGAUUAAGGUAUUUCUAUUCUUCUUCUUCUUUUUUUUUUUUUCAAAGUUUGAUUAUGUACACAAAUUGGAAAAGGGGCAACAUUCUUUGUUCCAUUAAACUCUACUACCUUUCUUCGGCUUUAAGUGGAAUUUUAAUUUUAGUAAUGUGUGAUAGGUUUAAAUAUGUUGUAAAUAUAAUAAAAUAAAUUUAUCGUUUAAAAUAAUUUCUUUGUGUUUUUAUUGAUUUUCUAUUAGGAGGGUUAAUUUGAUAUCUUACAUUUCAGACUUUCUUCACCACUAAUAACUUGAUCUAGUGGUUAACAUUAAAAUAGAGAGCAGUGACGAUAAAGUUUAGAAAACCAACCCAAGAAAUUCCCAAAAAAAAAAAAAGAAAAAGGGAAAAUUAAGGAAAUCCAAAGGCAUUGGAAUAAUUGAAAAGAAAGGUGAUGGGCUACAAGAGGUAUAAAAAUAUUAUAGGAUCAUGAAAAGACUUAACAUAAAACCUGAAAGAACUUGUCAAUGUCACUUCGUUACUUCAAAAAAGUUCUUCCCUAUAACAAAAUUUCCCUUUUUUCUUUGAAAAAAAUAUGUAUAAUGCAUGAAAAUCAAUAAUAAAAAAGAGAAGAAGAUUUAGGAAAUUUGAUUGAUUGACAAUUCAAAAAACCCCCUCUCCUUUUUUUGUUGGUCUCAGAAAUCUUUGCAUGUAUAAAGCUAAAACCAGGAGACCAAACAAUGGCCAAUUUAAAAAAUUCAGAAUUUAAAAUAAUGAUCGAUGUGGGAAACAUUAAACACGAUAAUCAAAGCAAAUGCUGGGAUUUGGAUUUGGAUUUGGCUGAUGAGAUAUAUCAGAGAAAUUGAAUAAUCUCUUUUAUGUUUUCUUUUCUCUAAAUUAAACAGAAUGUUCUCUCUCUCUCUCUUGAUUAAUUAAAUUAAUUAAUUUGUUUGUUUAAUUGUUUCUUUUUUAUAAAAAAAUUGGUAUCUCUCUCUAUCUCUCUCUCUCUUUCCCAAUCUCUCAGGGGACAACCAGCAUGUACUCUCUGACUUUGUCUUUUGGCUUUUUUCUUCCAUCUUUAUUUUAGGUUAUUAUCAUUUUCCCCCCUACUUAUUACUACCCAUAUAUUCAUAUAUAGGUUAAUUUCAGUGUUUUAAUAUGUCCAGGUCUUGUUUAUAUUCAUUUCUGAUCCCAUCUUUGAUGUCAAUGAACAUAUAUUAUGAACUAAAAAUAAUGACACGAAAAGAAAUUACAACUUAAUGAAAAUUUUAACCUUGAUGAUAAUAAUAUAUAAUACCUUUUUUUCUUCCUUUUUCUUUUUGGCAGGGGGUAAAAAUUUCCACUUUUUCUCAGUCUCAGCUCUCAGCUUUCUGCUUUCUUUCCAUUGCUUCAAAUGCUAAAUAGUUUUUGGAAACUGAGGUUUGGUUUCUUUGGGGUUUUGUUGGUACUAUUUUUGUGUGUGUUUCUUUGCUUUUGGUAACUUUACACUGUGUAUAUAUUUGAACUUUUUAUUCAAUUUAAUCUGUUGAGUUUCAUUUGUUAACUGUUAGUUUUUUAAAAUUAUGUUGUGAUUUUUUUUAUUAGUCUUUUUUUAAAAAUGAGUUGAUGAAUCAAUCCUGAGUGUAAUUCGUAAAUAAGAUUUUGUAAAACUAUUUUUCAUAAUUACUUAACUCUUAAAUUUAUGUUUAAAUUUAAAAAUUAGAAAACAAAUGAUCAUGAUACGAAGUUCUUAUCUUUUUCUUUUUCUAACUUUCACAGAAUGUAACUUUUUUAGUUUUAAUGUAAAAAGAAAAAAGGUUGUUCUAAUCUUUAUUAUAUUAACCCUUGUUUAUGGAAGCGUUAAAGAAAUUCAAUCAAUCUCACAUCUAGAUUUUGUAAAAUAAAAUUAUGCAAACAAAACAACCUCUAAUUAAUUAAAGGAACACUUUACUAGACACAAAUGUAAAAAAUUGAACCAUACACAUGAAAUUGAAACAAGAAUAUAAUUUUGAAAAGAAAAUAAAUAGUAUUCUCUAACCUCUAAAUUUCAUUUUAUUUAACAUGAAACAAAGUUAAGUAAAUUAAAUGAUUAUUGAUUGAUAACUUAUUACAAUAGGUUUAUCAACAUGAGCUCAACCCGAUUGACAGGAAGAUGAAAUUGUUGUGUUUAAAAGAGACACAACUCAAAGCUUAAACAACCCCAUACCAAAACUUAAUUGUGCAUCAAAACAUCACAUCUCUAUCUCUAUCUUUCUCUCCUCAUUCUUUCUCUUUCUCUCACUUCUUAUCAAUAUAUUACACUGUACUCCCCAAAGUACACAAAAGCCUAACACUCAAAAAGCAUAAAGAAAAAUAAAACCUUUCAACCCUUUUUUCCAUUUUGCAAUUCCCUUAAUCCAAACCAUGACGGACCCAAAUUACUCCUCCAAUUCCUUCAAUUUCAUCCAUCUUCCUCCUUCCAAUUUCCUCCUUUCCCAAUGCCGUCGCCCUACUCCUCCUCCGCCACCGUCAUCUCCGCCGCAAGCCCUCCCUCUCCUCAACACCCUCUCGCCGGAAACCGCCGAUCAUCCCUCCUCCUCCACCACCACUCGUAGUUACGAUGACGAAUCUGCCGUUCUUGCUCUUGACAUCAGCCUCUCUUGCCCUAGCUCCGAUCUAGACUCCUUCUCGCCAGACCCCGGCACCGGGAAAAUAAUCGACGGCGACGUUUCCGACCACCCUUUGCCGAUCUCCGGUAAGGGUCAGUACUGGAUUCCGACCCCAUCGCAGAUCCUCAUCGGUCCUACUCAGUUCUCUUGCCCUCUUUGCUCUAAAGCCUUCAAUAGAUACAAUAAUCUUCAGGUAAAAGUUUUCAAUUCUUUUUUUGGUUUUAGUUUUAUUUAUUAUUUUUUUUCUUGGGGUUUUGAUUUAACGGUUCAAGAAAUGUUCUUUGUGUCUUCCUUUUUGUGUACUUCUUUUGCAAGAUUGAGUUAUUGCAUUGAGACUAUGAGUGAGUGUUUUUCUUUUUCUUUUCUUUUCUUUUGUGGGUUUUUGCUUUUUUGAUCAGUCUGAGAAAUUGAAGUGAUCUGCUGCAAAACAACUGUUUGACAUUUAUGAUUAUUUUUUUUGAGAACGGUGAAAUAGUGAAGUAAUUAUGGGGAGAAGGGGUUUUUUUUCUUUUUGGUGUUUAAAAAUAUUUCAAAAACUUCUCUAAAUGGUAGAAUUGAUUAAUAUUUUCUUUUCAUUCUUUUGGGAUUUAAAGGAUUUGAAUUGAGUUUUGUUAUAAAUAAUAUAUUAGAAUUGUGUUUUUUUGGUUGAUUUCAGCUCUCUUUGAUACGACUUCGUUGAAAUGUAUUCUUCCUUUCCCAUAAUUUUUUAGUGUUAAAAAUUUGAUAACUCAAAAAGUCCAAUCAACCCAACCUUUGGAUUUUCUAUUACCUAAAUAACUUUCUGAUGUUCAUGAGUUUGAUUGGUUUAUAACUUUAAUUUGCCUAAAAUUACUCAAAUUAACCCUAAAACUUAUUAUUAGUUUUCAAAUGUGUAUAUAUAUAUAUUUUUACUUAUUAGAAUAAUAUUAUAUAUUCAUAUAUUUAUUUGAAUGUUGUACUUUUUGUUUGAUGACUUAUUCCCAGCAACUCCUAAAAAUAUUGUUUUUAGCAAUUUAGAAAUAAAAAUUUCAUAAGAUAAAAAGAGAAAAUAGAUUCCAAGAGUUAUUUCAAAUCUUAGUCAACACCUUUAAAAACAAAUAAACAAAAAAGUUUCUUUCUUUUUUCUGGGUUGGGAAAUCUAGGUGAGAUUUUCAAAGGAACUGUUAGUAAAACAAUAUUUGCUUCUUAAAAACUAAAAUGGGAUUAAUUUCUGAAAGCAGAAAGAUAUAUAUAUAUAUAUACAUAUUCACGUUUUCUUUACUAAAAAUGUUCCUCGUUUUUCAUAUCACAGCAUAGGAAAAAUUGCUUUUUCUACUGUUAUUAUUUCAUUCUCCUCUCAUAAUUUUCAUACAUUAUAUCAGAACAAUAGUUAAAAAAUGUAAUAAUAAACAUUCUUCCAUUUUAUUUGGAAGUGUUCUCUUUAGAAAAUAACAGUGAAGGACAAAACAAUAACAUGUUUUAUUAUGAUAUAUACUUUUAAUAAUGUUAUGGAAUGACUAUUUUAUAUGAUUACAUUUUAAGAUAUCUAAUUAAUGAAGAGUCGGGACUGUAUAUAUAAUGAAAAUGAAUUGACAAAAUUAGUUAUAGGGAUAUGUAGAGACGAAAAUGAAAACAAAACCCACCAGUUCAGGAAGUGGCGACGUUUUUCUUUUCUUCUUUUAGAAUAUUAUCUUUUCGGUUCAAAAGUUCUUACGAAGCAUAUGUGCAUUUAGUCUUAAUUUUUUUAGAAUAGAUGUAUUUGUCUCUGAGAUUCAAUAUGUAUAUACUUUUAGUUGUUGAACUUUUUUUUUUUAAUAGAUUUCUUAGACCCUUGAAGUGUUUUUUUUCUAAAAAUAAAAUAACAAAAUAUGCUGUUAAAAGUUAAUAUAUAAGUUAAUUUUAGAGUUAAAGAGAUAGUUCUUUUAGAAAGUAUUUUUUCCAAUUUAAACCAAUAAAACACCUAUCUUAAAAUCGUAGUGGCUAAAAGACGACGUUUUGAGAUGUUCAAACAUGGCGAGAAUGUUGAGAACAAGUUAAUGUAGUUGAUGGAUAUUAAGAUAUACCUAUCUAACCCUCUCAUUCUAAGAAAAACGACAUUUUGUUAUCAUAGUAAUACCGAACACAAGUCCAUAUUUUUCAAAAUUCGAGAACUUUGUUUCAUGAGUUGAUGCUUUUAAGUUAACUAAAUAUGAUUGUUUGACAUGCAGAUGCAUAUGUGGGGACACGGUUCACAAUACAGAAAAGGACCAGAAUCACUCAAAGGCACACAACCAACCGCAAUGCUAAGGCUACCAUGCUACUGUUGCGCAGUUGGUUGCAAACACAACAUAGACAACCCUCGUUCACGCCCACUCAAAGAUUUCCGAACCCUCCAGACACAUUACAAGCGCAAGCACGGCAUCAAGCCUUUCACUUGUAGAAAAUGCACCAAAGCCUUUGCUGUUAAGGGCGAUUGGCGAACCCACGAGAAGAAUUGUGGCAAGAUUUGGUAUUGCUUUUGUGGCUCUGAUUUUAAACAUAAACGCUCCCUUAAAGACCACAUCAAAGCCUUUGGUCGCGGCCAUGGUGCCCUUGGCCUUGAUUACUUUGACGAUGAUAAUGAACCCUCUCCUGAACUCGAUGAAGAUCAUCUCUUUGUUCGCCUUCGUUAAUCACGUCUUCUCUCUCUUUUUGUUGUGUGGUUAAAUAAUAUAUAUGAUGUUUGUUGUUGUAAUUUGUGUUGUGUAUAUGAGGAGGAAGUUGAGAUGGGGGACUGUGAUACAAAGGUGCAAAUUGAAAUAUUGAUUUAGUUGUAAAAUUUUUGAUAUGAUGUCGAUUUUUAUGGCAAUUUAUAAUAUAUGAAUGAACGGAUUAUGACCCUUGAUGUUUGAUCAUAAAUAUGGAAACUCGGUUUCCAUGUAGAUAUUUAAUAUUUUUUUUAUAAGAAAAACGUAGAGUUGUGUGAUUUUGUGUGUUAAUAAAAAUUGUUUAUUAUAGCUCGUUAUCUUUGUGUAUACUACAUCCAAUCAUUUAAUUAUAGUUUGUCACACGAUAAACUUUUAUUGUUUUUUUUGUGUGUUUAUGUAGGAUUAGAGUCGUUGGAAUUAAAUACUCUACCACCUUUAAACAUUGUUCUUUAUUUAUUGUUCGAAUAAACUCGUUGUACUUCCUUUCAAAAGUGUGAAUUCAUAGUAAUAUUGACCUAUAAUAAAUUUAGAUUGGUCCAACCAUUCACUUGUGACCGAUUCAUGAUGUAUUUACUUUUGUGACUUUUUCCUAACCUUUGUCUAUUUCACAAUGUUCAAACUAACUUAUUGCAUGAAAUACCACACAAAGGUCAAUUAGAAAAACAAAAUUAGAAUAAACCAAUUGUGGUUAAGCACCUAUUCAUGUAUGUAGUUAAGGUGGUGUUUGAGGCAAUAAGUAUUUAAGACGUAGUAAUCAUCAUUUACUACAAUAAAUACUAUUUAAAAAUUUUCAAUUACUUACGUUUAACACUAUUUUGAAAUUAAUUUUUUUUAUAUCUUUUGCUAUUUGGUGCAUUUUUUUACUAUUUUAAUUCUAUCAAUUUUUAUUAUUUGGUACAUAAUUUAUUUUUUUCUCAAACUAAAGCAGUUUAUACCUUCGACGCAUAUUAUUAUUAACCAAACUAAAAUAGUUUAUACCUUCAACGCAUAUUAUUAUUAACCAAACUAAAAUAAUAUACGUGAUCGAGUAGUAAGAUAUAAGCCCUAGGGGCAAUAUUGGGAUAUUCUAAAAACAAUAGGGUUAUUAUAGUAAAUUUGUUCCUCGUUCCAGAAUGGGCCGAGGAAAGUUCGUGGGCUUUAUUUAGCCUCUCGUUAUCGGCUCUACUCGAUCUCUAACUCAUCCCUAACCUUGGAAUCUCAUUGUUCUCUGUGAAACGAAAUUGAAUGAGUGCUUCCAUGGCGUUAGCGCCAAGCUUAAAUCACAGCCCCAGGUUUCCACCAUGGAACGGAUCAAAGAUCGUGGCCUGCUCAAACUCAAUCAACCCUCCGAUAAAUUCCACCAGUUUCCAAUCAUCCUCCGUCGCGAAACGCUGCUUACGGUGCCAUACCGUUUACUCGGAUGUCGAUAAUUCUCCUUCCGCUUGCGUCUUCCAUGGCCACAUCACUGGUUCGUAACGUACACUCGAAAUUUUAAAAUUAGGUCUUAGAUGUUUUUCCGAAGAGUGGGGAUUCGUCUUCACAGUUUUUAUAUUCUUUUGAGAAAAGCUUAUAUUGAGGUUGAAAUAGUACGUGAAUCUGGUUUUAUUAAUAGGGGAGAGGGGGUUGUUUGCUUUGUCGCCCCCGCACCAGGGGAUUGACGGUGAAUGGAGUGACGGCUCCGGUGUGAUCGUUUAUAAAUGGAAUGAUAAAUCAAAUCGUCCUAACUCCGGAACUGGCAACUGGAAGAGACGGUGGAGUUGUUGCUCCGAGUACGAUGAACGUGCACCUCCUUGCCGUCGGGGAUGGCACGUUUCUUACGACGAUGGGUUCACUUUGUAUUAAUAGAAUAGAGUGUCGUCUCUGCCAAUAAUUAAUGGCAUUUGUAUAAACCGUAAGAUUGAUGGCAUUCGUAAAUUGCUUGAAUGUUAUAAGAAGUGUAUUGUAAAGUGUAAAUUGCUGGGAUGUUAUGAAAAUUAUAUUACAAACAGAUUUCAAAUACACGCUCCAAACAUUGAAUCUCAAUCAUGUUACAUUACAAAAAUAAUCUCAAUACAGGCAUCAAACCUAAAUUAGGCAUGUAAGGUUGAUCAACCUUGCAUGAAGUAAAGAUGUGAACAUCUAAGCUAAUGUUGUGAAGUUUUAAUCAAAUUUGAGUAACGUUCAAAUUCGCAACUAACAAAUUAAACAUUAGCAUAUAUUUAAUUAAAACUUGCUAAAUUUACACAAGUCAUCUUCCAAAAACAUUAGAUUGUAUGAACAAAAUUCUCAUAAAACAGAGACGAGAGAGAUGAGUGUGAAUGGUGAAAAAAAGCAUCCGAUUCUCAUCAUUCAAGAAUAAGCAUAUAUAUAUAUGUGUGUGCAUAACAACAAAUUCAUACACUCUCCGAUCAAAUCUCCGGUGACGCCACAAAAGCUGCCUAAUACGAUCCCACCGUCUUGAACGAAUCAUGAACAUGCCGGAGCAUAUCCUGGUCCCGAUUCCACUCCGGCGUCGGCGCAUUCACAAAAUGAGCAUACAGCUUGUUCUUUGCACAAGUCACCGAGAUCAAACUAUGAGUUCCGGCGCCGUCGAUCUCGUACACAUAAUAAACCUGUCCAUUCUCAUCCUUCUUCUCUUCCGCCAAGAAGCUCUCGGCGCUCGCGAUUUGAUCCUGCAAAUUCACGUCCGAUAGAGCCAGGUUAUUCAGAAUCACAUCCUUCGGCCCUAAUUGCCGGAUUCCAGCCAGGAAAGUUAGGUAUUCUUUCUCUGAUCGUUUCUUCGGAUUGUAAAAUUCACUAUCGGUUCCGUUGGUACCUGCGGAAAUUAGUAGGUAGAAUUAAUUUUCGGAACGAAUUGAGCUAUUAGAUAUCUUUAAUUUAGGGAUUUUGGAGUACCUUUUUCGACUUUGGAUACUAAUCGCUCUUUCCAUCCUUCCGGCACGUCGUAGAUGUAUUCUGCUGUGUCUUUCUUGUUGGCGUUGCCACCAAGGCCACCGUAGUUGGCGGCGCUGGCGGCAGUGCCAUAGUAGACAUUGAAAGCGGCCCCGGUAUCGGCGAGGGAGGGUGUAGCGGUGCUAAGGAUCGCGGCUACGGCGAUGGCAGUGGCUGCGAUGGAGAUUGGGGCAGUUGAUGAAAGUGGAGGUUUGGAUUGGAGAAUGGGAAUUUGGGGCUUUGGUAACGAUGAAGCUUGCGGUGGUUUUGGGGCGGUUGUGCCGGUGGAGGUUAAGAACGCCAAUGGCGCGAUUGCUGUGGCCAUAGUGAUUGAUUUUCGUGGAUUUGGGCUUCUGGUGUAUCUCCUCGAACAGGAUUUUCUCCUUAUCCAUUCUUUUUCUAUUUUCCUUUAUUUUUCUAAAUCGUUUUUUUUAUUUUUUGAAUUUAUGUACUUUUUUUUCUAUUUUUGUAGAAUCCCAUUUAACUUUAUAACUAACCCCUAAUUUAUGUCUUUACUCUCUUCUAUGGCUUGCUCACGUUGAUGAUAUCACAUCACGACGAAUUAAGUUUUUCUUUUUCUUCAUGGUUAUUAAAUUUUGUUUUUACAUUCACCAAAUUGAAUUUAAAAUCCAUUUAAUAUAACAUUAAUUAACUAUUUGUUAAAUUUAGAUAAAUACAAGCAAAAGUCAAAAGCUUGAUGAAACAACUAAUUAAUAUACGAGCAUAUGUGGAUUGAGUAGUAGGUGUGGAUGAGAGAUUGUUAAAAGAGAAUUGUGAGGAAGUAGUAUAGUGGCGGAAGCUAACCACCUACUUUUCUUCCAUCUGCGAGCCCAUUAUCCAUGAUCCCGCAACUACUCUACACUUUGGGUAUUAUCCCACGAUCAUAACCUACUCAUGAGUAAUUAUCUACGUUUCGAGCAUAACUCAACUCUCACACUAACAAAGGUAAUCCCCAUUACGUGUCAAGGAGUUAAUGUCUCCAAUAAAAAAUAAAAGAAAAAUAAUUAAAUGUAGCUUGGACAUCACAUACAUCUCACAUAUUAUCUAAUUUACGUAUUAUCUGGAGUUGGAGAGUAGAAAGGUGAUCCUAAUUUAGAGAGAUUGUUUUUUAAAAAGAAAAAUAGAGUAGAGAAGUGGAGGUUGAAAACUCCGCCAUGUAUAUUUACGUAUUAACUCUUCUAACAAAAAAGAAAUGUAACGGUCACUAUUCUUACCUAAACGGACAAAGAAACCCAACCAAUUAGAUAUUUUAAAGCCAUCAAAUAAAAAAUAAGCUUAUUACAAAAAUGCCCUCGAAUUCACCAUGCAAUCUCCCUUUUCCGGGCAGGGGUAUUUCGGGAAUUAUCCCUAAAAUGAAUGGCCAAUGGUUAUAUUGCAUACUGACCGCCAAAAAAGCCCUAGGUACAGCCGUACAGGCGCGAGCCAUAGCUUUUUCUUUUUCCCUUCUCCGAUUGAAUUAUGCACUCCCUUCAUUUCCUUCAUUUCUCUUCCUCUUUUCAUUUCCCUCCACUACCUAUAUCUUUUUCAAAUCUUCUCUCACUUCUUUAAUCAAUCAAAAUUUUUCAUUUCUUUUUCUUUCCUUUUUAUUUCAUUUCAAUCCGUUUCUCUUCUUUCGAUCGCCAUGUCUAAAAGGUCAGUUUCUCGCUUUGACUAUGCUUCUUUAUACGUUCUUGUUGAUAUUGUCUCUUGUUUUUCAUGAGUUUUGAUGAUUGGAUUAUGGGUUCCGAUAAUCGCUUCUUGAUAUUGUUUUUUUCAUCAUGGUUCUUUGGUAUCUUGGUUUUGUUUAUUAGGUUUUGGGCUAUUUCGACGGGAUGGGUUCUUUAACGUUUGGAAUUUACGUUUCAUGAAAAGUCCUUUUGUGGGGUUGUUAUUGAUGCGUUUAUUUGAACUUUGACUUGUUGUUCGUACGGGUGUUAAUUUACUUUGCUGGUUUGUUUAGGGUCUUAUGCAAGUAUUUUGCGCAUGGAGCUUGUUUAAAAGGGGAAUAUUGUGAGUUUUCUCAUGACUGGACGGCUCCACCAAGCAAUGUAAAUAUUACUUUCUCUCCUCUGUGUUGCCAUAUACUAUAAUGGUGUUCAGACUAUUGUUUCUUUCUGAUGCAUCGUCCAUAACAGGUUUGUACUUAUUAUCAAAAGGGAAGGUGUGCUUUUGGCAGUCGAUGCAGAUAUGAUCAUGUUAAAGUUUCUCACGCCGAAUCAUGUUCGAAUGUUCAGCAAUCUCAUGGGUCUGAAUCUGUUUCUGUAGCUCAUUCUCAAUUGUCAAGGCCACUUUCUCCCUUUUCUGGAUCUACAAGCGAGCUUGCUAGUUCAGAGAUACCCAGUCUUCCCUUGCGCGAAGAAGCUGCUUGGAGUGGAGAGUUUGUGCGUCCAGACGGUCUUGAUGAUUGGGUGAAUGGGGAGGCAAGGGUUGUUGGUCCAGCUGAUAUACCUAUUUGUUCUUUUGCUGCGGCUGGUGGUGACUGUCCGCGUGGUGAAAAUUGUCCUCAUAUUCAUGGGGACUUAUGUCCUACAUGUGGAAAACAGUGUUUACAUCCUUUUAGGACGGAUGAAAGGGAGGAGCACUUGAAGGCAUGUGAGAAAAAGCAAAAACAUCUAGAGUCUUUGAAACAUAGUCAAGACAUAGAGUGCAGUGUUUGCCUGGAGCGUGUGCUUUCUAAAACCGAAACAGCAGAGAGGAAGUUUGGGAUUCUAUCAGAAUGUGAUCAUCCAUUUUGCAUUUCUUGUAUUAGAAACUGGCGCAAUAGUUCAUCUACCUCUGGAAUGGAUAUUAAUAGUGCCUUAAGAGCCUGCCCAAUUUGUAGAAAGUUGUCAUACUUUGUCAUUCCAAGUGUCAUUUGGUAUUCUUCAAAGGAAGAAAAGCAAGAGAUUGUUGAUAGCUACAAGUCAAGGCUGCGGUAAAUUUAUGUUCUUUUAUUUCUAAUUUGUGAAUGCAUUAUGGAAACUGUUCAAUUGCUUUCCAUUAUGUUCACGUUUUCUGCUUCCCUUUUGUUAUGUUUUGUUUUGUGUGCGUGUGUGUGUUUAUAUAUAUAUAGAUUUAUUUAUUUAUUUAUCAAACUCAAUUUAGUAAAUUGAAGUUAUUACAUAUCAAAUGUAAUUGUACGAACUAUUAUUUAGAGAAUGGAAACUGCAUAACUACUAAAGUAAACUGCAUAACUGCUAUUAUUUGAGAUGAUUUCGCUACUCUAAUCUGUGAGUUUUUAUCAUUUUCAUAUUCAGAUCAAUAGAUUGCAAGCACUUCAACUUUGGAAAUGGGAACUGUCCUUUUGGAUCCAGCUGCUUUUACAAGGUAAGUUUACCUCUGAAAGCAGUCACUUCAGUUUCCUUAUCCUAAUUGUACUCUUUCAAGCAUGAUGGAUGUUUUUGUACCGCCUUUUGUGUUGUGAGGACUUUCCUAUUUUCCUGAAUUUUUAUUGUUCUUCAUUUUCUUUUCAUUAUGCCCUUGUCCAAAUUGUUUUCUUUACCUUUUUUAUUGAUCAUUGAUAUGCAGCCUGCUGAAUGAAAAUCUCGACCUGUUUGGUUUUGCUAAUCUGCAUACGCCCUAGGAUAUCUGUUAAAUAGUACAUGCUUGCCUACUGGACAUGAGUUUACUAGAAGAAAUCCUUUUUGAGAUCUGAAUAUGGAUAUCUAGUAUAAUGGAAUAUUCUUUUAUCCUAAUUAUUUUCCGUUGGUUUCAUAAGCACCCCCAUCUGCCAUGGCUAUCCAAUCAUGGCUGGUUAGAUAAGGCUCAAUCAUACUCACAUGACUUUUUUUAAUUAAUUUAUUUAAAAAAUGAUAGUUCUGUUUGAGGGGUGGCUAAGAAUUUAAAAGCGCUUUUAAAAUGUGUGAGCUAAUUUUUUUACUUUACUUGAAUUUUUUAAUAACCAUCUUCUUCAUUUUUCUAUUUAAAUUUUAAGAAUGUUUAAAAAAUCUAAACCUACAUUUGAAACAGAAAAAAAUCCCCAAGAACUAUCAUUUUGUUUUUAAAUUUUGGUUGAGAAUCUUCAAGUGUUCUGAACCCCUAUUUGAAACCAUUUCAUUUUUUUUGUUUUUGUUUUUGUUUUUUUAAAUUAAGCUUGCACACACCGUUUUUAUCUAUGGGUUUUAUUAUGUAAUCUACUUUUUAUGAGUUUUAAAAACCAAGCUAUGUUUUGAAAACAAACUUGUUUUUGUAUUGAGAUUCAACCUUUCAUUGGUCUGAUUUGGAAGUCGCAUAUAUUUCUAGGAGAUAUGAAGACCACUAUGGAGAAAUGAUGUGAAAAGAAGCUAAUUUUUCAUUAACUAGAAACCAAAUGGUUAUCAAAUAGGGCCUAAAAAUAUAAAUUAGGAAACGAUCAGCAAUCUUGCUUAAUAUUUGCAAUUACUUUUGUCAUCCCUCUUCGAUAAUUUCUAUGGCUCAAUUCAGGUACAAAGUGAUGUGCUGACUACUUUGCCUGGUUGGCUCUGCCACCUCUAUGUAGUUGUAGUAGUGUAGUAAUUUAGUCUUAGUUAAAUUCCUAGUAAGAAAAAAUUAUAUAUUUUGGACACCGAGAUUGUGUUGCUAGACCUGCUACAAUUGAUUGAUGGGAUCCCUCUGAUUCAAAUUAAUAAUAAGUUAUAUUCCUACAGACUAACAGGUGUUUGAUUUGAAAGUGUUAUCAUGGGAAAAUAAAUGUAGUUUAGGACUGUAGCAAGGCUGGCGGGACCUCUCCUAAACUGCAAUCUGUUAAUCUAUAUAUAUACUUCAUUUGCCAGUCCUCUGCGCUCGUCUAUUUUAGAAAGAACAAAUGCAACUGCUGUGUCACAUCUUCUUCAUCUCAUAUGAGUGUUGCAAUCUCAACAACCCUUAUAUUUUUUGGUGACGUGUCAUAGGUGUCACAUAAGCAGUGCUGUUGCUGUUCAUUUUCAAUCAGUUUUUGUGGUAGAUGUUGAAAGAUGUGAUUCAUAGUGGAUUUUAUCUUCAGAUCUAUUCGCAUUCUGUUUGUCAUUUAAUUUCAUUAGAGCAGAUUGGCUUUCCAAUGAUACAAUGUUUGUUGUGUUCCAGCAUUUGGUCAUUCCUGGUUCAUACACAUGGAAAUAUCACAGGCCACCUCCACGCCAACCACAAUCAUGGAGAACUCCUCCAAGCAGAUCUAAUAUUGUCGAUAUGGAUGCCUUUUUUGAAAUGUUCGAAGACUUGGAGGAUUUGGAUUUUAGUGAUGAAGAUUUAGAUUUUGAAUAUUUAACACUUUUGGAGAUGGCACUAAUGCAGUUGGGUUGUGAAGCUAACUCGUCAAGUGAUGAAGAGUCAUAGUUCUUGGGCUACAGUUUUCUUCUUAGGUUGUUGUAACCUGAUUUAUGUUGGGUGUUUGGCGAGUUUCUUCUAGUCUUGCCAAAAAACUUUGAAUAUUUGCUUCUCUGGCAUUUUUGGCCACCUAGCAGUGCUUUUGUGCAGUAAGAUAAGCUUGUAGACUUUUUUAAUUAUCAUAAAUGCCAUGUUAAUGGGGACUCGUACUUUGCAAAAGGCAACAGUCAUUUGUCCUGGGGAAAAUUAGUUACCAAGUUAUCAAGAUGACGAUGGUCUAUUUAUGGAAGAACCUUUUCUUUGCGUAGAUUAUAAUAUGGCUUCUUAAGUGUUGUAUUUUACUACUGGGAAUUAGGAAUAUCUGCUACAGCUAUCUUCUUCGUUCCUAGAUUUUACGGAGAGUUCCAUUUCUAACCCUCUUGCUUACCAAAACCAAUUGUGUGCUCCUUAUGUUGAUCCUUAACAGAUUGGUUGUUUAUUAUCCCAGUAUGCUGGUAAUUUGAAGUGAAUGUUCGAUUAAUAUGUUCUAUUAUCUAUGAAGUAGUUUUUCCCAUAUGUGGACUUUUGCACACGAUGAUUGUUUUUUGAAUGAAGCCUUAUCUGUUUGCAACUGGGACGUGUGUUGCUUCUUUACUUUCAUUCUUGUAUGCAUUUUUUUUUGUGACUAGCUGUAUUAACUUCAAAAUGAGAGUCAAAUUUUCAAUGUGAUUUUCUCACUGCAGCAUGCACAUCGGGAUGGUCGGUUGGAAGAGAUAGCUCUGCGUCAUAUUGGGAAUGAAGAUGGUCUCACUGUUAUAGCUAAAAAUCUUAGGUCUUGAUUUGUGCAUUGCUUUAUAUUGACCAUUUAUUGUGCAUCUUUUACCUUAUAAAUUUGAAGCUAUUUUCAGGUUGUCGGACUUUCUCAGUGACUUGCAUAUCAGGUGAAGAAUCCUUCAUUCAGGUAUGGAACACACUAACCACUCAUCCUUUGACCCUGAGGUUGAAAGUUCAUACUUUAUGCCAACUUUUGCUAUCUAUUAAAUAUUUCGCAUUUUAAUAUGAUUAAUCAUUUGCCUUUAUGGAUGGGGUAAACUUCAAUAAUUAACCUUGAAAAUAUCAAUUGAAACUCAACAUUUAUAUUAGAAACAGAGCGAAUUAAUCUUCUGGCACUGUCGCUAUCACUAUAUUUCAACACUUCUCUGGCUCUAAAGAGUCCAUGAAACGCUAAACUCUUUGCAUUUUGUAUUUAUCUUGAGUUACAAUAUAUUUCACCUGUCAUUUAAAUAUCUUUUUUAUUGUUGGUCUUCGUUAACACUUGCAAUGUAAUCGAAGAGUUUGAAAAACCCAUUUCAGAUGUCGAAUUGCUUGGUCUGAAGGUCUGAUAUUGAGAAAUGGAAGGUGGGGGUAUCGAACACGGUGCUUCAAACUUUGUGUUCUACAAUAUCAAAAUAAAGCUAAAGACAUUUAUGUCAUAGUGAGAAAUGAAUGUUGGAAACCCAAGCUUGUUCUUCCAAUGAUAUGGUGAAAUAAAGAAUCAUAACAUUCACAUCUCACAUGUUGAAUUUCAGCUGAAUAAUAUGUAUGGGUUCUACAAGUUGUACUAAACAACUGGAAAGUCACAGAAUGUAUUUUGGUUUGGUAUUUUAAAAGAAAGAUAUGUGGGAAUGUCAAUGUUGUAUUUUGUUUUAUACAGAAACAAGUAGAAAAAAAAAAGUAGCAUCAGGAUUUGCCUUCGGAUGAGACUUAGUACUCAUCAAAUUUACAAUAAAAAAAACUGUGAUUUUUUUUCUUCUUUUUAUUGUCAUUUUCAUUAUCAUUCUCUCUUUCUGUUAGUGAUGAUUUGUUGUAUUAGUCAAAUAUUGUUUCCUUCUUUCUCACCUGAAUGAAUCAAAAUACUUGUACAAUUAAUAUAUGUUUCUAGAUGGUUAUUUUUUGCUAUAUUUGUCAACAUCUCCGUAAGUUUUGUCAUUUUUUGAAUAAUUUAUAAGUAUUAGUUUAGUCAUUUUAUCAUGUGAUUACAAAGUCUUAUUUAUCAUUAGCUUUACUCGCACAUCCGACUGUAGUUAUCACCUUUAAAUUUGUGAUGAGGUCGUUACAUAACGAGUUUUAUAUAAUUUGUAAGAAAUAUUUAAAAUAAAUUGAGAUUGCAACCACAUAUUUUUUUUUAUUUUUCAAAGAUGAAAAGAGUUUGUGAAAGCAAUUUGAGGUUACGGUCUUUCAUAAUUUAGUUCGAAUUUCAAAGAUGCUGUUGGCUUGUAAUAAUCUUUCAAAUAUAAAGUCUCGAUUACUUUUCUUUCUUGCCUUCAAAAUUCUUCGGAUAUUGUUAAUUAUAAAGUAUGCAUUCACACUUUAAUUUAUUCAUACUAUUUCAUUUCUAAUUUUGAGCAUUUCUUUGUCAUUUAAUUUUAUGCCAUUCAAUUUCGAUUUCUCAUUUUGAAAAUCUUAGCAAUGUUUUGGAGUAUACGUUACUUUUCUAAACAUGAGGCCAUUCUUUCUAAAAAAUUUAGGGUUGGCGAGUUAUAUAAACAAUUAAUGUUAUGUAGAUGUUUACUUUUAAUUAGAACCUAGAGCUAUAUAAUUAAUUAUUACUCGUUAACAAAAUAUCUUAUUAAUUAUGUGUAUGUAUUUUCCUUGGAAAAUUAAUAAGAGAAGGGAUUGAUAAAAAAUAAAAUAAAAAUAAAAAUACAAGUUGUUGUUUCAUUGUUUUGAGUAAAUAUGCAAAAUAAUUUUAAAUGACUUUAACUAACUAAUUAAUCAAAAUACAUUCAAAUAUCAGUUUUAUAUAUUCUUAUUAUAUUUUGGAUUUUGUUUAUGCAAUUUCAUUAUCUAAUAUAUGUUUAAAUGUAUUCUCAUGCAUAAAAAUUUAAAAAGAUAAAUAAAAAAGUUGGAAGGAAAAUUAAGUAAAAAUCUUCAUAGUUGAAUUAUUUAUUUUAAACAUUAUGAAGGAAUUUCAAUCAAUUUAUUUUGUGUAUAACUUAUUUUAUUUGGUCGUACGAAAAAGAAAAAGAAAAUUAAAUAGUUAACAAUUUAGUAGUAUUAUUUAAGAAAAUGAUGUUUUUUAACCUACUUUUAUUUAAACACUCUCGAUAAAAUAAAAGUUUGCUUCAUUUGUUAUUUUUGACAACUCACCUUUUUAUUAUAUAGGAAGUCUUUUUAAUUAAUUUCAAAUUACUAUAAAUCAAGAAUUUAUUGGUGGAGGUGAUGGCCGGAGUUGGUCAACAGUCAUUUAGAAAUGUAAUUAAAGGUCGGUUGAUGGAUCCUUAGAAAUGACAACUAUAGUCUAAGGUUGGCCACCGAAGAUCAUCAAAUACAUUGUUAGAGAUUGGUAGAAGUUAGAAGGCAACGCUAGAAAAUUGGAGAGAAAUUAAGCUUUAAAACAUUCAAAAUAAUUCAUUUGUCCAUAAACCAACUUAUUUUGUAAGCUCAUUCUCUAUUUCAUGUUUAGGUGGUUGUCAUUCUUUUUCGAAACAACUUACCCUUUUAGUUAAAAAAUAUUUACACGUACAACAAAUAAUCUAAAAUUCUAUAUAUAUAUAUAUAUAUUUCCUAAAAAAAUAAAAUAAUUAAGUUUGUAACAAAAUUACGUCAACAUUAGAUUAGGGUAUAUGAUUUUCGUGCUCUCCUAUUAAAGAUGCAAAUCAUUAAUUUAAAGGCAAACAAAUUUGUCGUAUUAAUUAAAUAUAUUUGUUCUUAUACAAAUACACUUUUUUGAACAAUAAUUCAACCUUUACCUCUCAAUCCAAUUCAUUCCAUAAAAACAAAAACAAAAACUCUAAAUCCAAAUUCCUAAUUUGAAAAUUUGACCAAUUAACCUUAAUUGGAAAAAAUGGGGAGGAAUAAUCCUAAAAAUAACCAUCUUUCACAAUUACUGUUCAUAUUAAUUACAACGUUUCUUUGUACCAUUUUUUUGCCAAUUGGUUAAAACAUCGUUUUUUUUUUAAUUUAUUGGUUCAAUUUCAUUUCCGAUGGGUUCAAUAGAUCUUGAUAGUUUAAUGUUCAUUUAAAUUUUUUCAUCUAAAACAUGUUCAUCCAUUGUAUGACAUAAUUAAACCUAUUAUUGUUAUUGUUGUUGUUAUUUAUUUAAUCAAUUAAUGAAAAGGAAGAAACUAAAUUUAAAUGAUUAAUGACAUUAUAAUAUGUGUAAUCACUGACUUUGAAGUCCCAAAUUGAAACAGAAAGAAGAAGACACAACACCCUAUUUUUAUUGAAUAAAUCACACUAAAUUAAAAAAUAAUAAUCAUACAGCAAAAACAGAUCACUAACAACAAUGAAUCAUACAGUAAAGAGAUUCUAGAGAAUCUCCAUUUUAUUUUCCGAUCAAACUAACCUCUAAAUAUAAAAAUGAUAAUUAAUUAAUUAAUUAAUGUAUAUGAAUUAACAAUCCACAUUCGAUUUAAUUUAGAGCUUUAAGAGUGCAGGAAGAGAGAAGAAGAAGGAAGCAAAGAGCAGAGCCAUGGAGGUCGCAACAGGCAGGGACGACGCUGCUCCUCGGUCGAGCCCUGGCGCCGGCGCUGGAGCUUCCUGAGCGGAAACGAGGGCGGAGAAGAGAGCAACGAGGGCGAGGAAGACGACGGGGGAGAUCUUGGAAAUGGCCAUUGAAAUGAGGAAAGAAGAGAAGAGUAGAGGAGAAAGAAGAAUUGUGCGGGGGAAUAAUUAUGAUUUUUACUAUGUGAGGGGAGAGGUUAUUUAUAGUGAGGGGCAGGAUGGCGCGUGGAACCCACUGGGAUUAAGCGUCCAAUGAGGUGACGAAAAGUCGCGUGAGAAUUGUGGUCACGUGGAGGGUACGUGGAAUAUAAAAAUUGUAGACAAAUAAUA